UUGAGAAAAAGACCAAAAUAGCAUUAAAUCAAGUUUUUGUUCCCAAACUAGCACUUAAGGCCAAAAGUCACAAAAAUAACACUCAAGAGGUGGGGUUUAGGGUUUAGAGUUUAGGGUUUAGGGUUUAGAGUUUAGGUUUUAGGGUUUAGAGUUGAGAAGUGAGGUUUUGGAAAUAAGAUUUCAAAUUUUGAAAAAUUAAAAAAUUUAAAUUUUUCAAAAGAUAAAAUGCUAUUUUGGUCAUUUUAGUUUUUGAGUGCUAUUUUUGUGAUAUAAACUUAAGAAGGUGCUAUUUUAGAGAUUUGCCCUUUUUUUACUAUCAUCUACCACUAUAUCACUGAAUUAAAUUUCUUUAACUGUUAGAAUGUACGAAUUUACCGACCAUCUACACUAUUAAAACAGAAUCCUUCUUAAAAUUAUACCCUUAACUUUUUCAAUUAAUUACAAAAAAUUCUAUUACUUUUUUCAGUUGUUUUAAAUGGUUUUCGGAAAUUAAAAGCCCAACAAUUAGAAAAGUAACAUGUUUAUGUCCAAUUAAAUAAAACAGUCCAAUAAUUUAAACAAUAUAUCCAUCGUUUUUUAAGCAUAUUUUGCGUAUGUUUACUAACCUAUCCAUAUUCGUUUGUGUUCUAACCUUAUAUCCAAAAGUUCUAUACAAACCCUAUUAACACCAUUAAAAACCCGUUGUCCAAAAAACUAUACCAAAUAUAUUGGAAUUCAUUAUAAUGCCUAUGUCUUAUUUAAAAUUUUCUUAUAUGAAAUUGCUGAAAUAUAUUAAAUAUUAUCUUUCAAUAAUAUUAAUUAUACUAUUAUAGUAUAGGGUUAGCAUAUUUCGAAAUCAUUAUUUUCAAUGCUAUUGACCCUUUAAACAGCCAAUAAUAUUUAAAUAUUUAUAUUUACCAAAUUUGUUAUAUAAAUAUAAAUAUAAAAUAUAAUAAAUAGAAACUCAUAAAUGUUCGGAUUCAAAUCAAAUAAAUUCCAAGAAUAUUAUCUAUAACAUCCAUUUUUGUAAUUGCUACAUACAAUAAAUUCAAAAGAUAAUAUAUAGAAACAAGAUUUUCCGAUGUAACUAAAUUAACUUGAUGAAGACGCAGAGAAUAUAUUAUGUUUGACAUGGCAACUGAAUUUCCCGAAUACUAAUCUUAAAAGAUAGAGAUAUUCGAUAAUAAAAAGAGGAUCCUCCAACUUAUUUGCUAUUCUAUAUUAUUUAUACCUUAAAUAAAUAGAUAUGUAAAUAAAAUAAUUUUCUAAAUAUUUCUCCCAUUGUAUUAUAUUGGUGUUUCACAGUAUGAGGAUUUUUUUUAUUUUACCUAAAUUAUUUGAAAUUAUUUAAAACAGAAAUGUAACCAGAACCAAAAAAUUCGAAAAUUUUAUAUAUCCAUACCACACAAAAUAUCAAAAUAUUCAAUCACUUUAACCAAAACUCAACUUCAUAUAUUUCUAAACCAAAAAUCACAACCAAACUGAAAUCGAAAACCAAUAAAAAAAAUUAGAAUCAAAACGAAAACCGAAAAUGUUUCUGGCGAAACAAAGUAGUUAACAAACAGCUAUAUCAAUAUAUUUGUCAACAAAUAUACUCCCGCGCUUUGAAAAAUCUAGUAUAACAUAUAAGCAAUGGUGGAUCUACAAAUAUAAUAUUUAUCGGUGGCAAACUUAUAAACACAGUUUAAUAACUUUAUACAAAAUUAUACUAAUUAAAAAGUAUUUGGUGCACCCCUUCUACACUGAACAUAGUUUCACCAAAUAGGCCCGGUUUAAAAAAUUAACUCGCCCUAUGCAUAUUUUUUUUUCUCUUUCUAACAAUGGUAAGCGAAUUUUAAAAUUGGACUCUCAGGGGGGUGUAUUGAAUCAUGGAUUUUAAAGUGUUUUGGUUUUGUUUUAAAAUCCCCUGUUAUUCAACUAAUGAUUUCUAUUUUUUUUUCCAAAUCAUGUGUUAUUGAAUAUGACAUUUAUCUAAAGUCACUAAAAGUUACAUGUCAUAUACUGUUAUUCAAUUAACAAUUUACAAAAACAAAAUCAAAUCUACUGUUAUUCAAAAAUAAACAAUUUUGAAAGAAAAACCUAUGAAAAGGAUUUGAAGCAAACUUUUUAUUAUUAUUUUCAGUCAUAACUAGUUUAACUCAAAUCCCACCUCUGUACCUGUUAUUUGGAAAGACCCAAAUUCAAUAUUAAAAAUUGGCCAAAGGAAAAAACGAUCCAUAUCCUUGACCACAACAAUGACGAUGAAGCUCACACCUCUGUACCUGUUACUCCGCCACCGUCUCUCCAAAAUCAGUGGUGGCCAGGAUUCAGCGUGAUUUGGACUAGUAUAAGAUUCAAUGCUGCCUAAUUCUGUCUACAAUGGAGCUAGUGUAAGAUUCAAUGUUUCUCAGUAUUUAUACACAUAGUCCGAUUAAUGUUUAUGUAGCAGCUUUGUUAUUGUGCCAUAUCUACGGGCUACCACUCGUUGUAUUACGAGGAAGAUACACUGCUUCUGAUCUUGUUAACAUACAAGAGGUUUAAGAUCACUAUUUUUAUGUCUUUACUAUUUUUACGGCAUUGACAAAGAAGACUAAAAAAGUUUGUUGUGGGGAAGUGUUGAUGGCAGGUCUCUGUUUUGUAUUGUUGGAAUCACAGUUUCUAUGUUUCUUUUUGUUGCAGGAUAUAGAAAUUAGAUUACUCGAACUCAAUGUGUUUAUCUCACCAAAUAAGAAACUCUUUCUUAUUAAUCACUCUUAAGGAAAACUAUCUCAAAAACCUUAAGCUCUCAAAACUCAUAAGUUAUGCUACAUCUUAGCAUCUCCUUAUAUAUCAACUUAUAAAUCCUAAACUCAUUAGGUAUAACACUUUAUUAGAUAUUUCCUAAUCCCUUUAGAUAAACACAAACUUAAUGGGAUUAGGUAGCUUAAUCCUCAAGCUAUCUUUAAGCUUAUUCCAACACAGGAUAUCUAACAAACUUAUUUACAUGAGUUAAACCUAUUUGCGUAAAUCCUUGCCUCUUAAGAGAGAAAAAGCUACAAGAAAUUAGAGGUUUGGUUCACCCAACUUUGUCAAGUGCAGUUGAAACACUUUGCUUCAACUCUCAAAACUCAAAAGCUUGAGGAAGUAUUCUUCUAUGAGACUACUUGCUCCAAAUAUGCAAGCUAAGGUAGUAGAUUAGAGCUUUCAUUUUGUCCUUCCACCAUAAAAGCGAGGAAGUCUCUGAAUGUAACAUGUAAGGUACACAGGCUAGCAAUGCUGAUUUUUAUUUUUGUUUUGGAUAAAUAUAUAUCUUGUUGAUAUCUUUAGGGGCUGCUCCUUAGAAAUAUAUGACGGACUUCUUUUACGUUUAGUUGUUUAAUUAGAGUUAGAAGCUAUGAAUAUAUAUCAAAAUAAUAUGAUCGUUUGCAGAGAUUCUUGGUCACUAAGUUAUUAAUAUUAAGUAUUGCUAAAUUGCUAUUUACCAUUUAUUUACCAUAUUUCUUCAUCACAUUAAGUUACAUACAUUAAUAAGCUAUAGUUAAGAGAAAAUUAUCAUUUAUUAUAUCACGCUCGCUAAUAACUUGGAUAAACCCUAUAAUUUGAACAAGAAUGCAACACACCUUCUCCUAAAAAUAGGGAGACAGAAUAGGUAGAGGGCCGGUCCUAGGCUAAAGCCCAUAAAGCAAGGGGUUUAGGGACCAAAAUUUAUAUAUUUUCUUGGGACGCCAAAUGUUGACAAUUUAAUCAUUUUAGCUUAGUGGUUCGCGUACUUGUUCUGUAUUGUUUCAGGUAGCGAGUUCGGUUCUGGUUCUUUUUUACUACUUCUUUUGUUUUUGGAAAAUAAUAGCAAUAAAUUUACCCAAUUUAAAGAUAUGACGAUUUACUUACCAUUUCUAAUAAAUUUGGUCUCUUUUAUCCUAAAUUUUAUAUUAAAUGACAUUAAAUAAACAAUUUAAUAAAGCAAACGGUAGUUUUUGUUUGGAUAGCAAACUUUAGUUAUUUAUUUUAAGUAGACGUUUUUCUUUUUUUUGAAAGAAUGUAAAAUUUUAUUCAGUCAAAACUUUGUACAUCUAGUGCAUCUGAUUUGUACAGAGAUAAUCUAUACUCUAAAAAAAAUUUCCUCAUGGUGAUUACUCCCUAGUAGCAAACCAAGUGGUCAAACUCUCUUCCAAGUAUUUGUGUCCCAGCCCUUUCACCGAUAGCAACUUAAGCCUGAUGGUUUUAUCUACAAACUUGAUGAGGGUAGUAGCAGGCUGUGGCUGCUCUCCAUUCCUGCGAGCGUUCCUUUCUCUCCACAACGCAUGAACUGUCGCUUGGAAAGCGCAGCGAAUAAGAAACUGCUCUGUGGGUGGCAUCCUUGCGCUCGAGAUGAUCUCUACUAGGUCAUUCCAUGAUGUAGUAAAUGCUCUCUGAAGAAUCCCUCCUACUAAGGCCUUCCAAAUCUGCUUUGAGUAGUCGCAACUAAAGAAGAGAUGGUGGCAAGUUUCAUUUGUUACCUCGCAGAGUACGCAAGUUGCAUCAACUGCCCCAUUCCAUUGUUGUAUCCUGUCAUAGGUCUGCAGACGUUGGCGGAGUGCAACCCAAACAAGAAAGGAGUAUUUUGGUGUGGAUUGCGUGAACCAAAUACCCUUACUCCAUUCGCAGAUUUGUUGUGUAGAUCGUAUCUGUAGCCAGGUUUUCUUUGAUGAAAAAACACUAGCAUACUUCCCUUCUUUCUGUUUCCAAAGAGGUGUGUCUUCUUCUUCACUGGAAUCAGCUUGAAGAAGUGCAAUCUCAUUUUCUAUCUCGUUUAGGAGGCUCAGCCUGUGUCUUCUUCUCCGAUGAUUACCAAGAACAUCAGCCAUCACCGCAUUUUCAGAGAUGCCCAUAGCAAUGUAUCCUCGUUCUCCCAACACGUCCUUUAGACAUCCAAGUGGUGACCACACAUCAAACCAGAAUGAUGUUACUUUCCCAUUUCGGACUUCUCUUUUGAAGAACUGCUUUGCAAGCUCACGGAGUUUCAGUAGCUUUCGCCAAACCCAUGAUCCAGAUGUAGCAGUUUCUUUUACCGACCACAGUGAUCCCUUCCUGAUCAGAUAACAAUGCACCCAUCGAAUCCAAAGCGAGUUACGCGCAGAGUGAAUCCUCCAGAUUAUUUUCAAACCAUGAACCACGUUUACUUCUUUUAGUGGCCUGAGCCCCAACCCCCCUUCCUGUUUCGGUAAGCAGACAUCUUUCCAGCUUACUUUGGCUUUGCUUGUUUUCAGUUCAGGUCCUGACCACAAGAAAGCUGAGCAAAGCCGCUCAAUUUCUUUCAGACAGCUGCUAGGGAGUCUAAACGCUUGCAUCCAGAAGUUUGUGAGGCUUGCGAUAACAGAUUUGAUAAGUUGUAAACGACCACCGUGUGAUAAGAACCUGCCCGUCCAUGCUUCAUUCUUUUGCGGAUUUUCUCGACCAAUGGUAGGUAAUCUUGAACUGUCAUACGUUUAGUCAAGAGGGGGAGCCCCAGAUAGCGGACAGGCAACUGUCCCGAGGCCAGAGGGAAGGUGCUUAGGAUGUCUUCUUCUUCAUUUUGAGUGGUACCCGCUGUGUAGAGUGUAGACUUCUCAAGGCUGAUCUUCAGACCUGAUAUCGCUGCAAAAUCAUCAAGUACUCGAAGUAUACCUUCAAUAGAGCGUUUUGUGCCGUCCGUAAACACCAUGAGAUCGUCUGCAAAGCUCAAAUGUGUUAGAAGGAUGUUCUUACACCGAGGAUGAUAGCCGACCAAGCCCCUUUCAGCCGCUUUAUCAAUCAUGUGAGAGAGAACAUUCAUGCAGAUGACAGUGAGGUAGGGGGACAGAGCACACCCUUGCCUUAAACCUCUCUUGCUCUGAAAAAUCCGGCUAACUCCCCGUUGAUCUGCACGGAGAAGGAGGCCGUGCAGACACAAAGCUCAAUCCAAUGAAUAAAUUCCUCUGGUAUGUUUAGUGCUCUCAAUGUGUUCAAGAGGAAAUUCCAAUGAACUGUGUCGAAAGCUUUAGCAAUAUCGAUCUUCAGAGCACAUCUCGGCGUGAUGUCUUCCUUGUGAUAGUCUUUCACAAUUUCAGUUGCCAGUAGAAGGUUCUCCACCAGUAGCCUAUCCUUCACGAAUGCUGAUUGGUUUGGAGAGAUGCAUCGAGGAAGAGUGCCUUUUAGCCUGUUAGCUAUGAUCUUUGAGAUCACCUUGUACAAGACAUUGCAGCAAGAGAUCGGUCUAUAAUCCUUCAUCUCAGUCACAGAUUCCUUCUUGGGUAUGAGAGCUAGAAUUGUUGAGUUCAGGCCCUUUGGAAGAAACCCUUUACUGAAGAAGGAUUGUACUGCGAUGGUGAAGUCCUUUGCAAUUACACUCCAAGAGGCUUUGAAGAACUCAACUGAGUAUCCGUCGGGGCCUGGAGAUUUAUUGCUCUGCAUAUGAAAGAGAACUUCUCGGAUCUCCUCCUCAGUUACCGGCCUGAUAAGCGAGGACCUCUCUUCAUUACUGCACCGGAAGGGAACAAUUUCUUGCAAUUCUGAAACUGUCUUGUUUUGGAUAUCAGUCGGUUCAGAACUGAGAAACUCUUUGAAAAAUCUCUCGGCCUCUGUUUUAAUGUCAUCUUGCGAUGUCACCACUCUUCCAGAAGGACAUUUGAUUUCUCUGAUGCCAUUCCGGACUUCUCUGGCCUUGGCAGCAUUAUGGAAAGCCUUUUUGUUAUUGUCGCCCACUUGAAGCCAGUGAAGUUUCGAUCGCUGCUUCAGAACCUUUUCCUCAAUGGCUGAUACUCUCUGCCAUCUUUCAUUUGCCACCAUCUCUGCAUGAACAUUGUCUGAUGUUGGGUCUCGAAACAAUUUCUCCUGUUUUUCACAUAGGUCCAGGUAGGCUUCCUUAACCUUUCUCGUUAGUUCUCCCAAUUUGGCUUUACUCAGGUUUCGAAUCAGGGGCUUUAGAGCUUUAAGAGACUUUGAAAAUCUAUAAAGCGCUGAGGUAGAAUCAAACAGCGGUUGAGUAUCUCUCCAGAAGUCCUGAACCACUGCAAGGAGUUCUGGCAUAUCAGCAAGGGCGUUUGAGAACUUGAACGGUUUCCUUUUGCAGGACAAGAGAGUUGAGGCACACUUGAUUCAUAUGGUUUCAUGAUUCAUAAGAGGAUGUGUUUGCAUGUGCAGCACAAUAAUCUCAAACCACAUAGAUUUAUUGUUCAAUAUUGUUUACUCUCUGUUUCUCCACAUGUUAAGCUGCCAAGUGAUUUUUAAUCUCCACAUUUUAGUGUCUUUUCAUGUCAUGUACGAAUUCAUCUCUUAGGAUUUGCUUCUCAAUCCAAGUAUCAUGUUAUGUGUCUUUUGUAUUCCAGUCUCAGGGUUAAGCUAUUCCAAAGUUAUGAUACUCUUCUCUACUAUUGCUAACCAUAGUUUAAGAUAGUUUGCAAGUUAUUGUAAAUUUGUUAAUUACUUAACAGAUAACCCUCUACGUAAAAUACAUACUUUUCACAAAGAAAAACAAAAAGAUGAAAAUUUAUUAUAAUAUUAUUUAAUUUUUUUAUCAAACUCAAGACAACUAAAAUAUAUAUGAAUUUAAGCUGACAUAACUUUCCCAUUUUAAUCACUAAACUCAAGUUUUGAAAAAUGAAUAAAAGGUAACAAAAUUUCAAUAAAUGACUGAUAUAUAAUCAAAAUAAAAAUUAAAAAAUAGUUUUAGAGACAAAAAAAUAAAAUAAUAAAAUUAUCGAAAAUACAUAAUAAAUCCAAAACAUACAUAAUAUGACACUGAAUACAUAAAUUUUAAGAAAAGAUUAGAGAAAUUCAUAACAACAAAGAAUAGAUGAAUUAAUUUACCAUAAUGUUUUUUUUUGUGUUGCAUCAAACCAAAGUGAACAAAAAUUAAAAUUAAAAUUAAAAUAGUUUAACUCAUCGAUUUUUCUUUUUCUUAGGUAUAAAAUAAGGCAAAGAAAAACUAAUAAGAAAUUAUUGAAAACCAUCACCAAAAAUAAUACAUAACUAAAACAAAACUUUCCAGAAAGUCAGAAACAAGCAAUAAAAAUAUAAAAAUAUAUUUCCGUGAAUAGUGAAAAACUCUAGAAAUAGAAAAAUAUAAUAGUGUAAAGUGCUAAUCUAAAGUUAUUUUUUCCAUUUAACUAUCUAAAACAUACCACCAUUUAUUUAUUCAAAAAUAUAAAUAUAUAACUUAAGUUAUGUUUUCCUUAAUCAAAUAAACAUGAUGCUAAUGCAUGACAAUAAAUAAAAAGAGUUUAUAUAAGAAUAAUUGAUUGAUAAAUUGUUUUAAAAAAAAUCCAUAUUAAACAUUUGUGAAAUGUAAAACUUAAAUAAUUAAUUAAUUUUCGUCCAAAGAGUGGACAUAUCCCUAGAUACAAUAAUAACAUUCAUCAUGUUUGAUCAUCCUAAACAAAUUCAGUGUAAAAUUCACAUAAUGUUUGUAUAUUUCAUUUGAAACGUUUUAGUUUAGUAUAAUUUCAGUAAUAAAAUUUAAAAUGUAGUAAAUGUUAUGUGUUAUCCAAAUGAUACUUAAUAGUAUAUUUAUGUUCUCUAAAUUAAAUAUAUAUUCACUACUCAAACCACAACGAGCUCAUCAUCAACAUGGAUGGCAAAAUGUUGGCUGCUAAUUUCAUGAAGAAUUAAAACACAAAAUACUAAUUUCCAUAAUAAACAAUUGUACAAUAUAAACAAAAUAUUUAUAAAAAUAAUAGGCAAUUGUUCUCUGCGUAGCGCGGACACACUACUAGUAAGUUAAUAAAUUAUCAAAAGGACAAAUUUUGGAGUGGACAACGACUAGUUUAAGCGGCGGAAACGGUGUGGCUAGGGUUCGCCGGAAAUCUUCCCGAAAAUCGCAUGAGAGAGAACGGCGGGGAUUAGGGUUUUUUCUUCAAAUUUGAAAUCUUAUCCCCAAAACCUCAAUUCUCAACUCUAAACCCUAAAACCUAAACUCUAAAUCCUAAACCCUAAAUUCUAAAUCCUAAACCCCACCCCUUGAGUGCUAUUUUUGUGACUUUUGACUUUGAGUGCUAGUUUGGGAAUAGAAACUUGAUUUAAUGCUAUUUUGGUCUUUUUCUAAAAUCAAAAUCGCAAAACUAUUAAUUUAGGAAGGGGAUCAUAUUUUAAAUAUUUAGAGUAGCAGAUCUACAAGAGUUUUCCAAAGCAACCCCUCGAAACAAAUUUGUUCGAUGUAGUGGACCUUUUCUUUAAUUUAUUUUUGUGGACACCCAACCCUAAUUCGUUUCUUCCCCACAACUCUCAUCUUCUCGCGGCCCCAACCCUAGUCUUUCCAAUCCCUCAGCUCUUCGAUUUUUUGGUAAGCUAAUCUCUCCCAUCUUCGCGUUUAGCCAAAUACCCCCCCCAAUACUUUUUUUUGAUUUACCGAUUCAAAAAGUCGCAGACGACAUAGUUUUGCGAAUUGAGGGAUUGUCUUUGUGUUUUAUGAAUUGCUGUUAGAGUUUUGAGGAUCUGAAUCUUACAAUUGUUCUAUUGCCCUUUUGUAUUUUGUUUUCAAUUCAAAGACAAAAAAUUGCUUCUCUCUUUAUCCCUUUAGUGAAUGAGCAACACUGUAAUAAAAAAAAUGAAUUUGUUAAUGAUCAUCAUCUUAAAACGCUGUAUUUAUUAACAUUAACUUUUGCUGUAAUUUUACUAAAAAAUGAAUCAAGACAACACAAUUUGCUUGUUGUGUGUGUAUUCUUAUGUAAUUUUUUUCUGUUGUUUCGUCAGGAUUUUAUUUUUUGUGGGUAUGGGAAAAGGUAAGCUUAUACUGAUCUGCCAAUCUGGCGGCAAGUUUGUGACGGACGAUGAUGGGACAAUGACUUAUACUGGAGGAGAGGCAGAAGCUAUAGAUAUUAAUCAUGAAACUUCUUUUCAUGACUUUAAGCUCAAACUGGCCAAACUAUGGAACUUGGACUUUGAUUCUUUGUCCCUCAAGUAUUUUCUCCCCGGAAACCGAACAACCCUUAUCACCAUGAGACAAGAGAAAGACAUGAAGAGGAUGUAUGAUUUUCAUCUGAGCUCCGUCAGCGCUGAAGUUUUUGUAACAGGACAAGAAGGCUUCCACUCUCAAGCACCUGCUAACUGGUAUGUUCUUAUAUGACCCAUGUUCUGUUUCAAUGGUUGCAUAAUCCAUUUGAUGAAUUUAUUUGCAGGUCUGAUAAUAUAGCAGUGAGAGCAGACACUACACUUAUAGCAUAUGGGAAUGUAGCUAAUGUACCCAUUGAAGUUGCCACAGAAGACAACAGCCUCGUUGAUGUUAGUUUGAUAUCUAGAAAGGUCGUCGCCCCCAGGUUUACUUCUGAAUCCAGUGGUCUUGUUGAGAUUCCUGUAACCGUAUCGACUGGUCCAGUGGUACCAGCCAAAUCAACUUCGAAGAAACCCAAGCGGAAAGGGAAGACGACCAGUCUUGCUUCCAGUAACUAUAAACUGACUCCCAGAAGUUCCAAACAAACAGUGAUGGGUUCAAAAAGCUCCUCUCCGAUGUCCCCUGCGAGUGUUAGUAAACGAAGACGUGUGAUGGAAGAACCCAGCAUGUUGCUCCAGGAUGAAAACGCCGGCGAGACAAGGAGAAGAUCCUUAAGAAACAGGGGAGAAAUUCGAAAGCCUGUAAUAGAAACUGAUGAGGAUGAAUAUCUCUUAAGUGACGAAGAUGAUGCUCACGAUAAUCUUGAUGUAGAUGAUGACAAGGACUACGUGCAGGAUAUUGAUGCCUAUUACCCUGAAACCGAGGAUGUUGACUCUGAACCCCAGAUGAUGAAUUAUUCCAUCUCCGGUGUUAAGGAUGGUUCUGUAGAGAGCUUGGUAGCCUCAUGGAAACUUUGCAUUACCGGCGUGGGUCAGGGAUUCGAGAGUGUCGUUGAGUUUCGUGACGCGUUGCAGAAGUACGCCGUUGCUUGUCGUUUUGGGUACAGGUUAAGGAAGAAUGAAUCGAACCGAGCGUGUGGGGUUUGUUUGGUUGGAGGCUGUCCUUGGAAGAUUUAUGCAUCUUGGGUACCAUCAGAAAGCAUGUUUAGGAUAAAGAAGUUUAACAGAAGGCAUACAUGUGGGGGAGAAUCUUGGAAGUCUGCUCAUCCAAAAAAGAACUGGGUGGUGAGUAUCAUCAAGGAGAGGCUGCAGGAGAAUCCAAAUCAGAAGACUAAGAACAUCGCCGACUCCAUCUUUCAAGAUUUUGGUAUUGAGCUGAGUUAUUGCACCAUUAGACGAGGCAUUGAUGAAGCCAAAGGAGGGCUUCACACAUCAUUCAAAGACGCGUAUAAGCAUUUGCCUCUUUUUGUGAAUAAGGUUGUUGAGACAAACCCUGGAAGUAUAGUUGAUCUUGUGGUUGGUGAGGACAAGAGAUUUCAGCGGCUUUUUCUGUCUUUCCGGUCUUGUAUAAAUGGGUUUCUAACUGGUUGCAGGCCGCUUCUUUUCCUUGAUGCCAUUCCCUUUAAGUCGAGGUAUCAUGAGAUUUUGUUAACAGCUACUGCCUUGGAUGGAGAUGAUGGUGUGCUUCCAGUGGCAUUAGCCCUUGUUGAUGUGGAAACUGACGAAACUUGGCGUUGGUUUCUUGAGCAAGUAAAGGUAGCUGUGCCAAGUUUACGUCCCCUUACAUUUGUCUCUGACCGUGAGAAAGGGCUAGUGAGUUCUGUGCUGGAGAUUUUCGAGAACGCACAUCAUGGUUAUUCCAUUCAUUACUUGAUGGAGGACUUUAUGAGAAGCCUGAGAGGUCCGUUUCUUGGAGACGGGAAGCCAUCCUUAUCGUACUAUCUACUGGCUGCAGCACGUGCUGAUCGACUUGAUGGGUUUAAGGUAUACACUGAGCAGAUAAAACGAGUGUCUCCGAAAGCUUAUGAUUGGGUAAUGGAGAUUGAAGGAAAGCACUGGGCCAAUGCGUUGUUUGAAGGUGAACCAUACAGCCACAUAACCUCAGAUGUGGGAGAGAUCUACUCGAAAUGGAUUGAAGAAAUUCAGGAGACCUCAAUCGUCCUGAAGCUUGUGGUGUUUGUGAGUAGAAUCGUGGAGUUGGUAAACAGUAGCCAGGAGAAGUCAAGAGAGUGGUUCAGCCACCUUGUGCCAUCUGUUCAAAAAGCUCCUCUCCGAUGUCCCCUGCGAGUGUUAGUAAACGAAGACGUGUGAUGGAAGAACCCAGCAUGUUGCUCCAGGAUGAAAACGCCGGCGAGACAAGGAGAAGAUCCUUGAGAAACAGGGGAGAAAUUCGAAAGCCUGUAAUAGAAACUGAUGAGGAUGAAUAUCUCUUAAGUGACGAAGAUGAUGCUCACGAUAAUCUUGAUGUAGAUGAUGACAAGGACUACGUCCAGGAUAUUGAUGCCUAUUACCCUGAAACCGAGGAUGUUGACUCUGAACCCCAGAUGAUGAAUUAUUCCAUCUCCGGUGUUAAGGAUGGUUCCGUAGAGAGCUUGGUAGCCUCAUGGAAACUUUGCAUUACCGGCGUGGGUCAGGGAUUCGAGAGUGUCGUUGAGUUUCGUGACGCGUUGCAGAAGUACGCCGUUGCUUGUCGUUUUGGGUACAGGUUAAGGAAGAAUGAAUCGAACCGAGCGUGUGGGGUUUGUUUGGUUGGAGGUUGUCCUUGGAAGAUUUAUGCGUCAUGGGUACCAUCAGAAAGCAUGUUUAGGAUUAAAAAGUUUAACAGAAGGCAUACAUGUGGGGGAGAAUCUUGGAAAUCUGCUCAUCCAAAAAAGAACUGGGUGGUGAGUAUCAUCAAGGAGAGGUUGCAGGAGAAUCCAAAUCAGAAGACUAAGAACAUCGCCGACUCCAUCUUUCAAGAUUUUGGUAUUGAGCUGAGUUAUUGCACCAUUAGACGAGGCAUUGAUGAAGCCAAAGGAGGGCUUCACACAUCAUUCAAAGACGCGUAUAAGCAUUUGCCUCUUUUUGUGAAUAAGGUUGUUGAGACAAACCCUGGAAGUAUAGUUGAUCUUGUGGUUGGUGAGGACAAGAGAUUUCAGCGGCUUUUUCUGUCUUUCCGGUCUUGUAUAAAUGGGUUUCUAACUGGUUGCAGGCCGCUUCUUUUCCUUGAUGCCAUUCCCUUUAAGUCGAGGUAUCAUGAGAUUUUGUUAACAGCUACUGCCUUGGAUGGAGAUGAUGGUGUGCUUCCAGUGGCAUUAGCCCUUGUUGAUGUGGAAACUGACGAAACUUGGCGUUGGUUUCUUGAGCAAGUAAAGGUAGCUGUGCCAAGUUUACGUCCCCUUACAUUUGUCUCUGACCGUGAGAAAGGGCUAGUGAGUUCUGUGCUGGAGAUUUUCGAGAACGCACAUCAUGGUUAUUCCAUUCAUUACUUGAUGGAGGACUUUAUGAGAAGCCUGAGAGGUCCGUUUCUUGGAGACGGGAAGCCAUCCUUAUCGUACUAUCUACUGGCUGCAGCACGUGCUGAUCGACUUGAUGGGUUUAAGGUAUACACUGAGCAGAUAAAACGAGUGUCUCCGAAAGCUUAUGAUUGGGUAAUGGAGAUUGAAGGAAAGCACUGGGCCAAUGCGUUGUUUGAAGGUGAACCAUACAGCCACAUAACCUCAGAUGUGGGAGAGAUCUACUCGAAAUGGAUUGAAGAAAUUCAGGAGACCUCAAUCGUCCUGAAGCUUGUGGUGUUUGUGAGUAGAAUCGUGGAGUUGGUAAACAGUAGCCAGGAGAAGUCAAGAGAGUGGUUCAGCCACCUUGUGCCAUCCAAGGAGGAAAGUCUAGUGGAAGAAUGCAAGAAAGCAAGCACGCUUAAAGUUUUCUUUUGCUCCGACACGCUUUUCGAGGUUCACGAUGGGUCUGUUCAGCUCGUGGACAUGAGUAACCAAACAUGCAGCUGCUUCGGGUGGAAGCCCACUGGUCUUCCUUGCCAGCAUGCGAUUGCUGUCCUAAACACCAAAGGCAGAAAUGUUUAUGAGUACUGUUCAAGUUUCUUUACAGUUGAGAGUUUCCGUUCAACGUAUUCAGAAGCUCUGGGGCCAGUUGCGAUCGACUUACCUUCAGUGGAGAAUGAAGGGAGCAGCAAGGAAGAGGAAGAACAAGUACUUCCGCCUCUGUUUUCGCGUGUUCAGGGAGUGGACAAAAGAAUCAAGGACAGGAAAAGAGGACGAUCCGUGUGCUGUACAAAGUGUGGAGGAGUAGGACAUAACAAGGCUACUUGCAAGGAUGAUUGAUCAUUCUUGUGUUUGGCCUGCUUCUGGUCAUUACAUUUGUACAGAGGUUUGCAUCUUUCUUCAUAGAUUUUGUUUGGAACCACAAGAAGAUCCGGUAAGGAUUUCUCUCUCCCUUUUCUUGCUCUCACCUUUAUUUAGUGUAUAAAGUAAUAAACUCAGGAAAGUGUUAUGCUUUGUGGUUAUGUGUUGCUUUGGAUACACUAAUACCUUUUUAUAGUCUUUCUAACAGUUAUUUGACUACAGCUAAAUUUUAUUUCUUCCCUUUGUAUCAUUGCUGAUGCCAAACCUUAAUUAUAAUCCAUAGCUAGCAUCUGUUAUUUAUAAAUUAAAGAUACCACACCCAGAAGUAAAGAGAAGGCAAAAUAACUUAGGAAUUUCUAAAAUAUUAUUUUAAAAAGAUUUUCUGAUCUUUAAAUUAAAAGUUUGGAGACAUUCCAAACUCACAACCUCAAAUUUAAUUUAAAUGAAUAUAUUUUGUGUUUUUUUUAAGUAAACUACAUAUUAUACUUUUUUGUGUGACUACAGACUAUAUGAAAACUUCGUGAACCAAUUUAGGAAUUUUGUCUAUCUGGACAACAUAAAUUGUUGAUUUGAAUAUUUCCCAUACAAAAUUGUCCGCUUUUGAGUUUGGAACACAUGUGUAAUUUCACAUGUUUUGAUUUUUUUUUUACUUCGUUGAAACUUUUUUAGAUAUAUUGCAAAAGUGUAUUAUUUUUUUUUAGUUUAGAAAUCAUCUUCACCAUUUCAGUGCAAUAUGUUGCAAAUGUCACAUAUAGCUGCGGAAAAGUUUUCAUGCUUUAUGUAGCUCAUAUAGUAUUUGAAUUCCAGAUGUAGAGGUGACAUGCAACUCUUUGUAUUUCUUACUCUUAUUAGAGCAAAAAUUUUUUGUAAUGUACUAUAUCAUCAUUGUCCGAAAAAAUCUAUGCUUUUCUAUGAGUCAUCAGCGUAACACCAUCGAUGUUCCAAAUGCAUUGGUUCUGACCCAACAUCAGUUUGCAGAAUGUGAACUUCGUUCUAUAGCAACUAUUAUGUUUUCGCUAAUACAAGUGCAUCCCGAAGAUUUCAGUCGAUAUUAAUAAAUAACUUAUCAUUCCUACCUUUAGUAUUUAAUAUUUUAAAGUAAUUGUUUCUACUUGGGAUGAAACUUAAUUAUCAAAUCCCGUUAUAUAGCUGAAUGCUAUGGCUUUUGGUUUUAUUGUGCCAAUAAUUAUAUAAUCAUACUAGCCCAAGAUUGUUUAGGGUAUCUUUAUUUAGAGUCUGAUUGGUAAUGAUUGUAGUUUUAAAAAAUUCGUGCAGAAAAAAUCUGUAGAUUUUUUUUGCUGUGGUUUUAAAUUUUAUUGAUGUAGAAUUUUAUAAAAACCCCCAAAAAAUUGUUGUAGAUAUUUAGCUAUAUAGAGCACUCGUAUAGCUGUAGGUUAUUUCAAGAACUGUGAUUUUAAUUUUUUUUUAUUAAAGCUUGAUUACUGUGAAUUUAGCGCUGUAAAAUAAAUGGGACUGUGGACAGCACCUACAACCAAUACCAGUCACACCUUUAGAUCAUGGCGAGCGAGAGUUGAGUCACCGUGAUCGGAACUCACCAAAUCCGAUCAACUUCUGUAAGACUAAAACCAUUAACCAUCUAUCCACUUACAUCUCUAACAAAGUACAAUGAUCUCAUGACCUAAUGUUUAUCCGCCAGAAAUUUAGAAGUUCACUAUGUCAAAAGUAUUCAAGAAUAUAUAUUUCUUAAACAAUGCCCACGUUGGUCUCCAACGUCUACAAACAUCAACAUAAGUUUUAUAUCUAGAUGCAAUUUAUCUAUACGUUAUAACCAUGCUAUGCAGAAGAGAGAAAGAUUGGAAAAUAUACAUUGAUAGAAUUGGUUGGAAGCAAAACUAUGAUGCGGAGGAUCAAUGUUGGAACCACAUUAAAAAAAAGUAUUGCAUAGAAUAUGAGUUAAAAGACUUGGUUGUUAACUCACCGUUCUACAAAUAAAUGCUAGAAUUUUAUGUCACCCGAACAACAUUAACAAGGGAUGCGACCGCUACUAUUUGUACAAGCAAAUAAAUAAGUUCGUCUACUUCAUUAAACAUAUGUUUAUUAAAUAUUUAAAUCUUAAUAAGCUCGCAAGAACUAUUAUGUACUAUCCAAAUAAUAUUUAAUAGUAAAUUAGUUCACCGCAAUUAAAAAAAUAUUAUUCUUCAAGGAUAACAAUUUAGUUGCAUUCUUUGUCUCCAAUAUAUAAAAUUCAUAAUGUCAUACAUUAAAAAAAUUACACUUUACGUUAGUCAAUCACAUCACAUUAUUUGAAUACAUAUCCAUCAACACUAACAGCUAAGUUUUUAUGCUACAAACCAGCAAAUUUUUUUUUUUAUAAAUUUGCUGCACGUAACGCGGACACACCACUAGUAUACCAUAAUAUCCAAGUAAUUGAUGGUAAUUCAUAUGUUCUUGAAUUUACCAAAAAAAUAAUUCAUAUUAGCGAAGACUAAAAAUAUAAAAAAAUUUCAAGGAUUUGUCAAAGUUUUAAGAGGGCCCAUAUCUGUAUUGUUAGAAGACAUUUAAAAAGACAUGACUAGCCAUAUAGUUGUCUUUGUGCUACAAUGUAUUAUUAACUUCAAACUAACCAUUGUUUGGUUGUUUGGUGUUAAUUCUUUAGGUUCUUUGGGUUUUUUAAAAACUUUUUGCGGCCCCUUAAACCUUAUCAGCUAAAAAAACAUUUUUGGUUCCAAUCACUUGUAACUGAAUCUUCAUUAACCUUCUUAAUGAUAUAUACCAUUUAGCAAAAAAAAGCCAAAAAAACAUGACUAAUAGUUUAUUCCUUCACCCAUAACAUGCAUAUUGUGUGUCACAUUUUAUUCUUUUUGAUACCAAAAUUCUUUACCACAAGAAUUGUUUUAUUUUUUGUGGACAUUUUAUUUUUAUAAAUGGGCUUGUAAGUAUUUGACUAAUAGACCAAAAGGAGUAGCAAAUCUUUCUUUAUCCACACAUUAAUAUUCUGUGUGAUUUCUUAAUUUAACCAUAUAUUUUUCGACUUUGUCAAAUACCAACCGAUCAUUAUUUGACGUCACAAUUCAUUUGAAGACUCAAUCAAUACAUUAAUCAUCUGUGUAUUCUAUAUUGGAUCAAUUAGCUGAUCCACCGUAAGAGUAGGUUUCCAAUUUGUAUUUUACAAUUUGCUGGUUUUGGGUGAGUAUCUUGGAUCCAUCAGCGAAAAGUAAACAUCAAAUCGGUUAAUAUAAUAAACAUAAUUUAAUUUUGUAAAAAAAUAUUAUAUGUUUUAGAAGUGCAGGCGAAAAUCCCCUAUAUAUUAGAAAUAUUUUUAAUAAUUAAUCUUUAAAGUGUAAAUUAUUCACAAAAAUUUUAUUAUGUUGAUGCGCUAUCACAAGAGACCUUCUCAUAUCCCACAUUAAAAAAGAUUUCUCUGACUAAAUUAAUUACAUGAUAUGCCGUGAGACCUUCUUUUUUAUUAUUAUUAUAAUAAUUUCAUGUCAGACUAUAUGCAACGGUUUUUUUAUUCAACAUCCGCUUUUUUACUUUUUAAUUAUCCACAUCACCUGUUCUUUCGUCUACGUAAUCAUUCAGUAUUUAUUCAACAUUUGAAUCCUACAAUCUAAACUAUUAAAACAGAAGUACAAAAAUGAAAUAACCCUGAUUUUUCUUCAAAAAUUACAACUUUAUGCCACUGAUUUAAGCACGGUCGUUUUAUAACAUUACAAAAAACGUUCUAACCAAAUUUGACUCACUUUGACCUGAAAUAACGUGAAACAAAACAGACGGAACCUAUCUCGCGUGUUUCGUUUCUGUGUUGUAAACGCAUGGCAAGACAAAUCCUAGAAGAAAUUAGAUGAUGAAGAUGCUUGAUUUUCGUCGACAGCUGUGGAAUCAGAUGGAGAUUUAAGAAUCGAUUGUCUAGAUCUUAAACUUGAACCCAAAGUCUAGAUCUUUAUCGAAGAAGAUGGUGAUCUGAUGAUAUAGGAAUCACAGAGAGUUUCAUUCUCCAUAGAUACCAUUAGCUAAACCAGUUGGGUUCCAUUUAAUUGAGUUAGCGAAUGGUUUCAUGCCAAUAAACCAACAGUGAUCUACUUUCAGUAUGUUUUUGAGGAAUUCAAUGGGAUCUAUAAGGUUUUUAUGGUGGAUUAUAAAGAUUGAUGUUUUUAGGAUUAUUUGGCCGGAGCUUGCGGAGGUAGACGCGGCGGAGAAAGCAAUAGUGGUGGAAUUAUCUGAGAAAGUAGAUCAAUCGAGUCAUCAACACCGACAACAAGUUUCCGUCUUUUCAUUGUUUUCCGACAUUUCCGUCUUUUCAAUUCGGUAAUAUCUCUGAAAAAAGUUUUGGGUUUUCUCUGUAUCGUCUAAGUACCAGCAUGAUUGCUCAUGAUAAAUUCUCCACCUUUAUAACUUUGACGUUGAAAGGAGUGAAAAUGUUGAGCUUUAUUGAUGGGUUUCUUCAGGUUUGGCUGGUGUUAUAUACAUCAAAGGCGUUGCAGUUACUAAGUACAAAAGGUGAAGUUUUAUGGAACUUUCUGUUAAGUCAUUACAUCUGUGCUUAUAUAAGUUCAUAGAAAUGAAUAGAACAUUGUUUUUAUAGGUCUGCUGUAAAGUAAUCAGAGGAGUGGUCAUAAGUUCAAAGUUUUUUGUCGAGGUUUGAGGAAUUGGAACACUCGAGAUGUGUUCACUGCCUGAUUCGGUCACAAAUGAAUUCUAUUUUUUUUAUUUACAGCUUGAUGAUGGUUUGGGGCUUUCAUUUACUAACAAAAGGAAAUUUGCCAAAGUUAGAUAUUUAGGUAAUGUAUAGAUGCUUUAACUCUUUAACAUACUUUUCGUUACUAAAAAAAAUUUGAAGUCAACAAAUAUUUAAAACAAUUGCAAUAAAAUUACAUGGCAUGUUUUACAAAAAUAAGACAGUAGUAGACAUAUUAUGCACAGUGAAAAAUUAUACUCAUAUUUUUAAGUGUUUAUUAAAUGAUUUAUAGAAUAAUACUGAAACGUAAAAAAUAUAAAUAGUUAUAAUUAGGUAAAUUUGAACAUUUAUAAUAUUUGAUGAAACUAAAAGAUUAACAACAUAAAAUUGUGAAAAUAAAAGUAAUAAUAAAUUCAAGUUUUAGCCGUUUAAAUUACCAGUGAUAUCCCUCGACCUUCAUGACACAUCUCUCAACACCUCUUUGAAAUCGAAUACUAGCCUUUUCAGACUCCACUAUCUUCGUCACCUGAACCUUGCGGGUUGCGAUCUCCGAGGUGAGAUUCCAGCCUUAAUAGGCAAUCUGAACCAUCUAAGCUAUCUUAGCCUCAAAUAUAACUAUCUCAUAGAAGAAACACAACUAAAAUAAAAUAAAUGAAUGUGAAUCUCACAUUAAUAUCAAAACCGAAAAAUUAUAUGUAUGUUUAAAAAUAAUAGUACUAACUAAAUUUAACUGGGUUAAUUUUGAUUAAAUUUUUUUAAUACCCAAAUAAACUAAACCGAACUAAAUUUAAACCAAACUAAACCCUAAUCUAGAGAAAUACUAAGUCGAGGCCCAUUUAUUUACUGUAAAUUAUGUUAACCAUUUAAUCUGGAAGCUUAUGUUUAUAGGCUUAUUCUAAUGAAUGCACGGGCCAUUUAUUUACUUAUAAAUUAUUUUACUAAUAUGAUCUAUUAAUAUGCUAAUUGAACUUCGGUACAUAGACUAAUAUAUAUAUAUAUAUAUAUAUAUAUAUACCAAAAUGGGUUUAUGAUAAUGAAAUUAUAUGAAAAUAAAAUAAGAGCUUCACCAUUAUAACAAAUAAUAUAUUCUGUAUCUGGGUUCCUAUAUAUUAUUUUUAAAUUAUAUUACAAAUUUUUACAAUGUAUAAAUACAUUCAUAUAAUAAAAUUAAAGGAAUAUAAUAUAAAACACUUAAAAUUAAGACGUAUAAAACAAUAUGAAUGUUAUGUGUAAGCAUAUCAUAUAAAACAGAUAUAUAAUAUAGUAAAUGUUAUAUAUCUAUACCAUUAAAAAUAUAUACUAUUCAUUUUUAUAAAAAAAAUUGACAUCCGCGCGGACGCGCGGGUCAAAGGCUAGUGAUUUAUUUAAAAAACAAUUCAACACCCUCUUUAACUAUUUUUAUUGCAAUUGUUUUUCCUAUUUUUGUAUAUACAUAAAACUAUUUACUAUACUUUUUUUGUAACACAUAAUAUUAACUUAUACAAAAAAAGAGAAUUUAUCAUAAAAUAAUAUAAAAUAAUAGGAAAAAAGUUUCCUAGCUACACGAAGUUUACACUAAUAUGGUGGAAACCAUCCAAUAUAUGAAAAUGUGUCAACAACUACACGAAGUUUAUGUUAAUACAUGUCACAUGUACGAAGUAAAUAAUAAUAUGGUGGUAACAUCACAAUCGGGUUUAAUUGAUUUUAAGCUAAGUUAAUGGAGUCAAUCCGUAAUUUACUAAACUUAAUAAACUUAAUGAUUUUUUUUUUUUGACAGCAAAAAAUAUUCACAGACUCAUAUAGACUCUGUAAACCAAGGUGGUAACUCUGUAAACCAAGGUGGUAACUUAAUGAUUUUUCAAGUUUAAUAAACUUAAUUGAUUUUAUUAAUAAACUUAGUAAUUUAAUAAACUUUAACUAAAAAAAAUUAAUAAUUUAUUAUACUUAAUAAAUUAUUAAACUUAAUAAACUUAAUAAUUUAAUAAACUUAAUAAAUUUAAACUUAAUAAAAUUAAUGGUUUAUUAAAUUUAAUAAACUUAAUUGAUUUUAUUAAUAAGCUUAGUAAUUUAAUAAACUUUAACUUAAUAAACUUAAUAAUUUAUUAUACUUAAUAAAUUAUUUAACUUAAUAAUUUAUUAUACUUAACAAAUUAUUAAACUUAAUAAACUUAAUAACUUAAUAAACGUAAACUUAAUAAACUUAAUAAACUUAAUAGAUUUAUUAAACUUAAUAAACUUAAUAAAUUUAUUUAACUUAAUAAAUUUAUUAAGUUUAUUAAGUUUGUUAAAUGAUUAAUUUUUAUAAGUUUAAUAAAUUUAUUAUUUUUUAUAAAAUUAAUAAAUUUAUUAAUUUUUAUAAGUGUAAUAAAUUUAUUAAGUUUAUUAAGUAAGUUUAAUAAAUUAUUAAGUUUAUUAACAAAAUCAAUUAAGUUUAUUAAACUUAAUAAAUCAGUAAGUUUAUUAAGUUUAGUAAAUUACAGAUUGACCCCAUUAACUUGAUUUAAAAUCAAUUAAACCCGAUUGUGAUGUUGCCACCAUAUUAUUAUUUCGUACAUGUGACAUGUAUUAACAUAAACUUCGUGUAUUUGUUGACACAUUCUCAUACACCGGAUGGUUUUCACCAUAUAAUAGUAAACUUCGUAUAGCUAUGAAACUUUUUUCCAAAAUAAUAAUAAAAAAUAUGUUGAUAUAAAAAUAUUAUUUUGAAACUAAAUAAACCAAGUCUCUAUUUAUAGAGUAUAAAAAUGAUGAAUUUUGAUAUAAUUAUAAUUAUUAAAAAUUAUGUAUUAUAAAAUAAUUGAUCUAUAAAAAUUGAAACUAAACUUUCAUCCACGAGUUAUAAUUUUAUAACGUGUACCAAUUAUUGAAGAAAUUGUCCACAACAUUAAUAUGGACCCUAUUUCUACCCUUUCAACGGUGUUGAAUAUAUUCAACCGAUAGUAAUCCAUAUAGAUCUUUUGAUUUCUUCAACACCACCACUGUGGGGAUUCAGCAGUUGAAUACCUUAUUCAACAGGCUCAUUGCACUUACCCUAAGACUAGGAGCAAUGAGGUUGUUGAAUGAAAAAUUCAACUGCUUAAUCCUUAGAAUUAGGCUGUUGAAUUCAAAUAAAAUCCAACGUGGAUUAGUACAUGUUGAAAAGUUUCAACUGGUUGAAUACCAAAUGAGUGCGUCCUACAGGAACAUGUGUUGAAAUGUGAAGAGAGAAACUGAUGAGAGAGUGAAUUCACACGUUAAAUACAUAGUGAAUGGAUCCCAAGAAACAAUUUGAUUGGUUGUCAAAACUAUCAGACACUACACUUAUAGCAUAUGGGAAUGUAGCUAAUGUACCCAUUGAAGUUGCCACAGAAGACAACAGCCUCGUUGAUGUUAGUUUGAUAUCUAGAAAGGUCGUCGCCCCCAGGUUUACUUCUGAAUCCAGUGGUCUUGUUGAGAUUCCUGUAACCGUAUCGACUGGUCCAGUGGUACCAGCCAAAUCAACUUCGAAGAAACCCAAGCGGAAAGGGAAGACGACCAGUCUUGCUUCCAGUAACUAUAAACUGACUCCCAGAAGUUCCAAACAAACAGUGAUGGGUUCAAAAAGCUCCUCUCCGAUGUCCCCUGCGAGUGUUAGUAAACGAAGACGUGUGAUGGAAGAACCCAGCAUGUUGCUCCAGGAUGAAAACGCCGGCGAGACAAGGAGAAGAUCCUUGAGAAACAGGGGAGAAAUUCGAAAGCCUGUAAUAGAAACUGAUGAGGAUGAAUAUCUCUUAAGUGACGAAGAUGAUGCUCACGAUAAUCUUGAUGUAGAUGAUGACAAGGACUACGUCCAGGAUAUUGAUGCCUAUUACCCUGAAACCGAGGAUGUUGACUCUGAACCCCAGAUGAUGAAUUAUUCCAUCUCCGGUGUUAAGGAUGGUUCCGUAGAGAGCUUGGUAGCCUCAUGGAAACUUUGCAUUACCGGCGUGGGUCAGGGAUUCGAGAGUGUCGUUGAGUUUCGUGACGCGUUGCAGAAGUACGCCGUUGCUUGUCGUUUUGGGUACAGGUUAAGGAAGAAUGAAUCGAACCGAGCGUGUGGGGUUUGUUUGGUUGGAGGUUGUCCUUGGAAGAUUUAUGCGUCAUGGGUACCAUCAGAAAGCAUGUUUAGGAUUAAAAAGUUUAACAGAAGGCAUACAUGUGGGGGAGAAUCUUGGAAAUCUGCUCAUCCAAAAAAGAACUGGGUGGUGAGUAUCAUCAAGGAGAGGUUGCAGGAGAAUCCAAAUCAGAAGACUAAGAACAUCGCCGACUCCAUCUUUCAAGAUUUUGGUAUUGAGCUGAGUUAUUGCACCAUUAGACGAGGCAUUGAUGAAGCCAAAGGAGGGCUUCACACAUCAUUCAAAGACGCGUAUAAGCAUUUGCCUCUUUUUGUGAAUAAGGUUGUUGAGACAAACCCUGGAAGUAUAGUUGAUCUUGUGGUUGGUGAGGACAAGAGAUUUCAGCGGCUUUUUCUGUCUUUCCGGUCUUGUAUAAAUGGGUUUCUAACUGGUUGCAGGCCGCUUCUUUUCCUUGAUGCCAUUCCCUUUAAGUCGAGGUAUCAUGAGAUUUUGUUAACAGCUACUGCCUUGGAUGGAGAUGAUGGUGUGCUUCCAGUGGCAUUAGCCCUUGUUGAUGUGGAAACUGACGAAACUUGGCGUUGGUUUCUUGAGCAAGUAAAGGUAGCUGUGCCAAGUUUACGUCCCCUUACAUUUGUCUCUGACCGUGAGAAAGGGCUAGUGAGUUCUGUGCUGGAGAUUUUCGAGAACGCACAUCAUGGUUAUUCCAUUCAUUACUUGAUGGAGGACUUUAUGAGAAGCCUGAGAGGUCCGUUUCUUGGAGACGGGAAGCCAUCCUUAUCGUACUAUCUACUGGCUGCAGCACGUGCUGAUCGACUUGAUGGGUUUAAGGUAUACACUGAGCAGAUAAAACGAGUGUCUCCGAAAGCUUAUGAUUGGGUAAUGGAGAUUGAAGGAAAGCACUGGGCCAAUGCGUUGUUUGAAGGUGAACCAUACAGCCACAUAACCUCAGAUGUGGGAGAGAUCUACUCGAAAUGGAUUGAAGAAAUUCAGGAGACCUCAAUCGUCCUGAAGCUUGUGGUGUUUGUGAGUAGAAUCGUGGAGUUGGUAAACAGUAGCCAGGAGAAGUCAAGAGAGUGGUUCAGCCACCUUGUGCCAUCCAAGGAGGAAAGUCUAGUGGAAGAAUGCAAGAAAGCAAGCACGCUUAAAGUUUUCUUUUGCUCCGACACGCUUUUCGAGGUUCACGAUGGGUCUGUUCAGCUCGUGGACAUGAGUAACCAAACAUGCAGCUGCUUCGGGUGGAAGCCCACUGGUCUUCCUUGCCAGCAUGCGAUUGCUGUCCUAAACACCAAAGGCAGAAAUGUUUAUGAGUACUGUUCAAGUUUCUUUACAGUUGAGAGUUUCCGUUCAACGUAUUCAGAAGCUCUGGGGCCAGUUGCGAUCGACUUACCUUCAGUGGAGAAUGAAGGGAGCAGCAAGGAAGAGGAAGAACAAGUACUUCCGCCUCUGUUUUCGCGUGUUCAGGGAGUGGACAAAAGAAUCAAGGACAGGAAAAGAGGACGAUCCGUGUGCUGUACAAAGUGUGGAGGAGUAGGACAUAACAAGGCUACUUGCAAGGAUGAUUGAUCAUUCUUGUGUUUGGCCUGCUUCUGGUCAUUACAUUUGUACAGAGGUUUGCAUCUUUCUUCAUAGAUUUUGUUUGGAACCACAAGAAGAUCCGGUAAGGAUUUCUCUCUCCCUUUUCUUGCUCUCACCUUUAUUUAGUGUAUAAAGUAAUAAACUCAGGAAAGUGUUAUGCUUUGUGGUUAUGUGUUGCUUUGGAUACACUAAUACCUUUUUAUAGUCUUUCUAACAGUUAUUUGACUACAGCUAAAUUUUAUUUCUUCCCUUUGUAUCAUUGCUGAUGCCAAACCUUAAUUAUAAUCCAUAGCUAGCAUCUGUUAUUUAUAAAUUAAAGAUACCACACCCAGAAGUAAAGAGAAGGCAAAAUAACUUAGGAAUUUCUAAAAUAUUAUUUUAAAAAGAUUUUCUGAUCUUUAAAUUUAAAGUUUGGAGACAUUCCAAACUCACAACCUCAAAUUUAAUUUAAAUGAAUAUAUUUUGUGUUUUUUUUAAGUAAACUACAUAUUAUACUUUUUUGUGUGACUACAGACUAUAUGAAAACUUCGUGAACCAAUUUAGGAAUUUUGUCUAUCUGGACAACAUAAAUUGUUGAUUUGAAUAUUUCCCAUACAAAAUUGUCCGCUUUUGAGUUUGGAACACAUGUGUAAUUUCACAUGUUUUGAUUUUUUUUUUACUUCGUUGAAACUUUUUUAGAUAUAUUGCAAAAGUGUAUUAUUUUUUUUUAGUUUAGAAAUCAUCUUCACCAUUUCAGUGCAAUAUGUUGCAAAUGUCACAUAUAGCUGCGGAAAAGUUUUCAUGCUUUAUGUAGCUCAUAUAGUAUUUGAAUUCCAGAUGUAGAGGUGACAUGCAACUCUUUGUAUUUCUUACUCUUAUUAGAGCAAAAAUUUUUUGUAAUGUACUAUAUCAUCAUUGUCCGAAAAAAUCUAUGCUUUUCUAUGAGUCAUCAGCGUAACACCAUCGAUGUUCCAAAUGCAUUGGUUCUGACCCAACAUCAGUUUGCAGAAUGUGAACUUCGUUCUAUAGCAACUAUUAUGUUUUCGCUAAUACAAGUGCAUCCCGAAGAUUUCAGUCGAUAUUAAUAAAUAACUUAUCAUUCCUACCUUUAGUAUUUAAUAUUUUAAAGUAAUUGUUUCUACUUGGGAUGAAACUUAAUUAUCAAAUCCCGUUAUAUAGCUGAAUGCUAUGGCUUUUGGUUUUAUUGUGCCAAUAAUUAUAUAAUCAUACUAGCCCAAGAUUGUUUAGGGUAUCUUUAUUUAGAGUCUGAUUGGUAAUGAUUGUAGUUUUAAAAAAUUCGUGCAGAAAAAAUCUGUAGAUUUUUUUUGCUGUGGUUUUAAAUUUUAUUGAUGUAGAAUUUUAUAAAAACCCCCAAAAAAUUGUUGUAGAUAUUUAGCUAUAUAGAGCACUCGUAUAGCUGUAGGUUAUUUCAAGAACUGUGAUUUUAAUUUUUUUUUAUUAAAGCUUGAUUACUGUGAAUUUAGCGCUGUAAAAUAAAUGGGACUGUGGACAGCACCUACAACCAAUACCAGUCACACCUUUAGAUCAUGGCGAGCGAGAGUUGAGUCACCGUGAUCGGAACUCACCAAAUCCGAUCAACUUCUGUAAGACUAAAACCAUUAACCAUCUAUCCACUUACAUCUCUAACAAAGUACAAUGAUCUCAUGACCUAAUGUUUAUCCGCCAGAAAUUUAGAAGUUCACUAUGUCAAAAGUAUUCAAGAAUAUAUAUUUCUUAAACAAUGCCCACGUUGGUCUCCAACGUCUACAAACAUCAACAUAAGUUUUAUAUCUAGAUGCAAUUUAUCUAUACGUUAUAACCAUGCUAUGCAGAAGAGAGAAAGAUUGGAAAAUAUACAUUGAUAGAAUUGGUUGGAAGCAAAACUAUGAUGCGGAGGAUCAAUGUUGGAACCACAUUAAAAAAAAGUAUUGCAUAGAAUAUGAGUUAAAAGACUUGGUUGUUAACUCACCGUUCUACAAAUAAAUGCUAGAAUUUUAUGUCACCCGAACAACAUUAACAAGGGAUGCGACCGCUACUAUUUGUACAAGCAAAUAAAUAAGUUCGUCUACUUCAUUAAACAUAUGUUUAUUAAAUAUUUAAAUCUUAAUAAGCUCGCAAGAACUAUUAUGUACUAUCCAAAUAAUAUUUAAUAGUAAAUUAGUUCACCGCAAUUAAAAAAAUAUUAUUCUUCAAGGAUAACAAUUUAGUUGCAUUCUUUGUCUCCAAUAUAUAAAAUUCAUAAUGUCAUACAUUAAAAAAAUUACACUUUACGUUAGUCAAUCACAUCACAUUAUUUGAAUACAUAUCCAUCAACACUAACAGCUAAGUUUUUAUGCUACAAACCAGCAAAUUUUUUUUUUUAUAAAUUUGCUGCACGUAACGCGGACACACCACUAGUAUACCAUAAUAUCCAAGUAAUUGAUGGUAAUUCAUAUGUUCUUGAAUUUACCAAAAAAAUAAUUCAUAUUAGCGAAGACUAAAAAUAUAAAAAAAUUUCAAGGAUUUGUCAAAGUUUUAAGAGGGCCCAUAUCUGUAUUGUUAGAAGACAUUUAAAAAGACAUGACUAGCCAUAUAGUUGUCUUUGUGCUACAAUGUAUUAUUAACUUCAAACUAACCAUUGUUUGGUUGUUUGGUGUUAAUUCUUUAGGUUCUUUGGGUUUUUUAAAAACUUUUUGCGGCCCCUUAAACCUUAUCAGCUAAAAAAACAUUUUUGGUUCCAAUCACUUGUAACUGAAUCUUCAUUAACCUUCUUAAUGAUAUAUACCAUUUAGCAAAAAAAAGCCAAAAAAACAUGACUAAUAGUUUAUUCCUUCACCCAUAACAUGCAUAUUGUGUGUCACAUUUUAUUCUUUUUGAUACCAAAAUUCUUUACCACAAGAAUUGUUUUAUUUUUUGUGGACAUUUUAUUUUUAUAAAUGGGCUUGUAAGUAUUUGACUAAUAGACCAAAAGGAGUAGCAAAUCUUUCUUUAUCCACACAUUAAUAUUCUGUGUGAUUUCUUAAUUUAACCAUAUAUUUUUCGACUUUGUCAAAUACCAACCGAUCAUUAUUUGACGUCACAAUUCAUUUGAAGACUCAAUCAAUACAUUAAUCAUCUGUGUAUUCUAUAUUGGAUCAAUUAGCUGAUCCACCGUAAGAGUAGGUUUCCAAUUUGUAUUUUACAAUUUGCUGGUUUUGGGUGAGUAUCUUGGAUCCAUCAGCGAAAAGUAAACAUCAAAUCGGUUAAUAUAAUAAACAUAAUUUAAUUUUGUAAAAAAAUAUUAUAUGUUUUAGAAGUGCAGGCGAAAAUCCCCUAUAUAUUAGAAAUAUUUUUAAUAAUUAAUCUUUAAAGUGUAAAUUAUUCACAAAAAUUUUAUUAUGUUGAUGCGCUAUCACAAGAGACCUUCUCAUAUCCCACAUUAAAAAAGAUUUCUCUGACUAAAUUAAUUACAUGAUAUGCCGUGAGACCUUCUUUUUUAUUAUUAUUAUAAUAAUUUCAUGUCAGACUAUAUGCAACGGUUUUUUUAUUCAACAUCCGCUUUUUUACUUUUUAAUUAUCCACAUCACCUGUUCUUUCGUCUACGUAAUCAUUCAGUAUUUAUUCAACAUUUGAAUCCUACAAUCUAAACUAUUAAAACAGAAGUACAAAAAUGAAAUAACCCUGAUUUUUCUUCAAAAAUUACAACUUUAUGCCACUGAUUUAAGCACGGUCGUUUUAUAACAUUACAAAAAACGUUCUAACCAAAUUUGACUCACUUUGACCUGAAAUAACGUGAAACAAAACAGACGGAACCUAUCUCGCGUGUUUCGUUUCUGUGUUGUAAACGCAUGGCAAGACAAAUCCUAGAAGAAAUUAGAUGAUGAAGAUGCUUGAUUUUCGUCGACAGCUGUGGAAUCAGAUGGAGAUUUAAGAAUCGAUUGUCUAGAUCUUAAACUUGAACCCAAAGUCUAGAUCUUUAUCGAAGAAGAUGGUGAUCUGAUGAUAUAGGAAUCACAGAGAGUUUCAUUCUCCAUAGAUACCAUUAGCUAAACCAGUUGGGUUCCAUUUAAUUGAGUUAGCGAAUGGUUUCAUGCCAAUAAACCAACAGUGAUCUACUUUCAGUAUGUUUUUGAGGAAUUCAAUGGGAUCUAUAAGGUUUUUAUGGUGGAUUAUAAAGAUUGAUGUUUUUAGGAUUAUUUGGCCGGAGCUUGCGGAGGUAGACGCGGCGGAGAAAGCAAUAGUGGUGGAAUUAUCUGAGAAAGUAGAUCAAUCGAGUCAUCAACACCGACAACAAGUUUCCGUCUUUUCAUUGUUUUCCGACAUUUCCGUCUUUUCAAUUCGGUAAUAUCUCUGAAAAAAGUUUUGGGUUUUCUCUGUAUCGUCUAAGUACCAGCAUGAUUGCUCAUGAUAAAUUCUCCACCUUUAUAACUUUGACGUUGAAAGGAGUGAAAAUGUUGAGCUUUAUUGAUGGGUUUCUUCAGGUUUGGCUGGUGUUAUAUACAUCAAAGGCGUUGCAGUUACUAAGUACAAAAGGUGAAGUUUUAUGGAACUUUCUGUUAAGUCAUUACAUCUGUGCUUAUAUAAGUUCAUAGAAAUGAAUAGAACAUUGUUUUUAUAGGUCUGCUGUAAAGUAAUCAGAGGAGUGGUCAUAAGUUCAAAGUUUUUUGUCGAGGUUUGAGGAAUUGGAACACUCGAGAUGUGUUCACUGCCUGAUUCGGUCACAAAUGAAUUCUAUUUUUUUUAUUUACAGCUUGAUGAUGGUUUGGGGCUUUCAUUUACUAACAAAAGGAAAUUUGCCAAAGUUAGAUAUUUAGGUAAUGUAUAGAUGCUUUAACUCUUUAACAUACUUUUCGUUACUAAAAAAAAUUUGAAGUCAACAAAUAUUUAAAACAAUUGCAAUAAAAUUACAUGGCAUGUUUUACAAAAAUAAGACAGUAGUAGACAUAUUAUGCACAGUGAAAAAUUAUACUCAUAUUUUUAAGUGUUUAUUAAAUGAUUUAUAGAAUAAUACUGAAACGUAAAAAAUAUAAAUAGUUAUAAUUAGGUAAAUUUGAACAUUUAUAAUAUUUGAUGAAACUAAAAGAUUAACAACAUAAAAUUGUGAAAAUAAAAGUAAUAAUAAAUUCAAGUUUUAGCCGUUUAAAUUACCAGUGAUAUCCCUCGACCUUCAUGACACAUCUCUCAACACCUCUUUGAAAUCGAAUACUAGCCUUUUCAGACUCCACUAUCUUCGUCACCUGAACCUUGCGGGUUGCGAUCUCCGAGGUGAGAUUCCAGCCUUAAUAGGCAAUCUGAACCAUCUAAGCUAUCUUAGCCUCAAAUAUAACUAUCUCAUAGAAGAAACACAACUAAAAUAAAAUAAAUGAAUGUGAAUCUCACAUUAAUAUCAAAACCGAAAAAUUAUAUGUAUGUUUAAAAAUAAUAGUACUAACUAAAUUUAACUGGGUUAAUUUUGAUUAAAUUUUUUUAAUACCCAAAUAAACUAAACCGAACUAAAUUUAAACCAAACUAAACCCUAAUCUAGAGAAAUACUAAGUCGAGGCCCAUUUAUUUACUGUAAAUUAUGUUAACCAUUUAAUCUGGAAGCUUAUGUUUAUAGGCUUAUUCUAAUGAAUGCACGGGCCAUUUAUUUACUUAUAAAUUAUUUUACUAAUAUGAUCUAUUAAUAUGCUAAUUGAACUUCGGUACAUAGACUAAUAUAUAUAUAUAUAUAUAUAUAUAUAUACCAAAAUGGGUUUAUGAUAAUGAAAUUAUAUGAAAAUAAAAUAAGAGCUUCACCAUUAUAACAAAUAAUAUAUUCUGUAUCUGGGUUCCUAUAUAUUAUUUUUAAAUUAUAUUACAAAUUUUUACAAUGUAUAAAUACAUUCAUAUAAUAAAAUUAAAGGAAUAUAAUAUAAAACACUUAAAAUUAAGACGUAUAAAACAAUAUGAAUGUUAUGUGUAAGCAUAUCAUAUAAAACAGAUAUAUAAUAUAGUAAAUGUUAUAUAUCUAUACCAUUAAAAAUAUAUACUAUUCAUUUUUAUAAAAAAAAUUGACAUCCGCGCGGACGCGCGGGUCAAAGGCUAGUGAUUUAUUUAAAAAACAAUUCAACACCCUCUUUAACUAUUUUUAUUGCAAUUGUUUUUCCUAUUUUUGUAUAUACAUAAAACUAUUUACUAUACUUUUUUUGUAACACAUAAUAUUAACUUAUACAAAAAAAGAGAAUUUAUCAUAAAAUAAUAUAAAAUAAUAGGAAAAAAGUUUCCUAGCUACACGAAGUUUACACUAAUAUGGUGGAAACCAUCCAAUAUAUGAAAAUGUGUCAACAACUACACGAAGUUUAUGUUAAUACAUGUCACAUGUACGAAGUAAAUAAUAAUAUGGUGGUAACAUCACAAUCGGGUUUAAUUGAUUUUAAGCUAAGUUAAUGGAGUCAAUCCGUAAUUUACUAAACUUAAUAAACUUAAUGAUUUUUUUUUUUUGACAGCAAAAAAUAUUCACAGACUCAUAUAGACUCUGUAAACCAAGGUGGUAACUCUGUAAACCAAGGUGGUAACUUAAUGAUUUUUCAAGUUUAAUAAACUUAAUUGAUUUUAUUAAUAAACUUAGUAAUUUAAUAAACUUUAACUAAAAAAAAUUAAUAAUUUAUUAUACUUAAUAAAUUAUUAAACUUAAUAAACUUAAUAAUUUAAUAAACUUAAUAAAUUUAAACUUAAUAAAAUUAAUGGUUUAUUAAAUUUAAUAAACUUAAUUGAUUUUAUUAAUAAGCUUAGUAAUUUAAUAAACUUUAACUUAAUAAACUUAAUAAUUUAUUAUACUUAAUAAAUUAUUUAACUUAAUAAUUUAUUAUACUUAACAAAUUAUUAAACUUAAUAAACUUAAUAACUUAAUAAACGUAAACUUAAUAAACUUAAUAAACUUAAUAGAUUUAUUAAACUUAAUAAACUUAAUAAAUUUAUUUAACUUAAUAAAUUUAUUAAGUUUAUUAAGUUUGUUAAAUGAUUAAUUUUUAUAAGUUUAAUAAAUUUAUUAUUUUUUAUAAAAUUAAUAAAUUUAUUAAUUUUUAUAAGUGUAAUAAAUUUAUUAAGUUUAUUAAGUAAGUUUAAUAAAUUAUUAAGUUUAUUAACAAAAUCAAUUAAGUUUAUUAAACUUAAUAAAUCAGUAAGUUUAUUAAGUUUAGUAAAUUACAGAUUGACCCCAUUAACUUGAUUUAAAAUCAAUUAAACCCGAUUGUGAUGUUGCCACCAUAUUAUUAUUUCGUACAUGUGACAUGUAUUAACAUAAACUUCGUGUAUUUGUUGACACAUUCUCAUACACCGGAUGGUUUUCACCAUAUAAUAGUAAACUUCGUAUAGCUAUGAAACUUUUUUCCAAAAUAAUAAUAAAAAAUAUGUUGAUAUAAAAAUAUUAUUUUGAAACUAAAUAAACCAAGUCUCUAUUUAUAGAGUAUAAAAAUGAUGAAUUUUGAUAUAAUUAUAAUUAUUAAAAAUUAUGUAUUAUAAAAUAAUUGAUCUAUAAAAAUUGAAACUAAACUUUCAUCCACGAGUUAUAAUUUUAUAACGUGUACCAAUUAUUGAAGAAAUUGUCCACAACAUUAAUAUGGACCCUAUUUCUACCCUUUCAACGGUGUUGAAUAUAUUCAACCGAUAGUAAUCCAUAUAGAUCUUUUGAUUUCUUCAACACCACCACUGUGGGGAUUCAGCAGUUGAAUACCUUAUUCAACAGGCUCAUUGCACUUACCCUAAGACUAGGAGCAAUGAGGUUGUUGAAUGAAAAAUUCAACUGCUUAAUCCUUAGAAUUAGGCUGUUGAAUUCAAAUAAAAUCCAACGUGGAUUAGUACAUGUUGAAAAGUUUCAACUGGUUGAAUACCAAAUGAGUGCGUCCUACAGGAACAUGUGUUGAAAUGUGAAGAGAGAAACUGAUGAGAGAGUGAAUUCACACGUUAAAUACAUAGUGAAUGGAUCCCAAGAAACAAUUUGAUUGGUUGUCAAAACUAUAAAAUUUUUAUUUAUUUCAAAUUACUGAAACUCAAUUAUUUUAUAGUAAAUAUUAUUUUUGAAAAAUUAAAAUUUAUAUCAAAAUUUAUGAUUUUUUAUGAUCUAUAAAUAGAGAUUAGUCUCAUUUCAUUUGGAUAUAGAAAAAAUAAUUAUCAAUUUUUAUUAUAAUUUCUUUUAUUUUUUAAAAAUUAGUUAAAUAUAAUUAAAAUUUAUUAAAAGCAUUUCAUUUAAUUAUUUAAGUUAAUUACAAUAUAAACUACUAUUAAUAGAUUGUUAUUAAUUUGUAAAACAUAAAAAUAUGAAUUAAAAUGGUAGGAUAUGGUGUUGAAUUUUAUUAAACAAAACUAUUUUAGAAGUAAAAAAUGAGGUGGGUGUUGAAUGAUUAGGUGGAAGAGAGAUAAGAUGAUGUGUAGUGUUAAGAAAAAAAAUUAGGGUGUUGAAUUUAAUAACUUUUUUUUUAGUAACCAUUGUAGAUAGUCUAAUGCAUAAUUGAUUCCCUUGCUAUAGGAAAUCAUUGAAAUCACACAAAAUCUUUUCAAAUAAUAACUUCCGACCUCAUGAAAAUACCAUUUUCACAAACCUCAUGAAAAUUACAUGUACUAUACUAUUAUAAAUAUAAUAACUUCACACAAGAUAAAGUUUUCGAAUAAUAACUUCCCUUAAAAGUACAAACUUUGUUUCAUGAUAACAUUAUAGAAAUUACUACAUUCAAAAACGGAGAAUUAUGUAACAAAAAAUAUAAGCAUCACAAAGAUUUUAAAUUUAAACUUUGUAUUCGCACAUAUAACAAUUACAUAUUGUUUGUUCAAAUGAACGCUUUAUAAUAUUUGAUCUGCUAUAUGGUUUGCGAGAGUUAAAUGUGAUGAUUCUUAAUAGUUUUUAUUAUGAAAGAUGUGAUAUGUGUUUAAACUCGAGACAAUUACUCAAGGUUUCAAGUCAUUUUAUGCAUCUAAAAGUAACUCUCUGCCAUCGAAACUAUUAUACUCAUAUAUAUUUGUUUUAUUUAUUAUUGAUACUGUUUUAUAUAUUUUAUUAAAAUAACUGAACACUAAUAUACUAAGCGUAUUUAUUAUUGAUAGUGUCCAAAUAUAUAUAUAUACGGGGACUGGAUGAAUACAAUUAAUUUAAAUAUCAGAUAUGCCAUUUAUUUACAAUUUAGACUUUGAUUGGUAACUUUGCGGAAUGGCGUAUGAAACGUGAUUCCGCAACUAUUUUAGCAAACAAAAAAAUAUCGUGGAAUGAAAAAAAAAACGCAAAAAUGCAGGUUUGCGUUUUUGCUCACAAAAAAAAUAUUAAGAGAGAUUAUAUUAAGUAGAAAAGUUAGUUUUAGUAGAUUAUAGCGGAAAAAUUUACAAAAUCAACAUUUUCAUAUUGAUACAUUAUAUGCUAAUACAAUCUUAAAUUUUAAAAUACAUAGCAAUAUUUUUUUAUAAUGGUAAAUAGUUAUGUCGUAAAUAAAGUUAUAAUAUAAUUUGUAUAUUAUUAAAUGUCACUAUAUUAUUAAAACAUAUUGAAAGAUAAGCUAGAUAUUUAUAAUAAGAAUUAAAAUAUUUUAAAUAAAUUUUAUUUAGGUUCGCAUUUUGUAAUAACUAGUUUAAUUAUUGAUAUUUUUUUUUUAUUAUAAAAAAUUGAAUACCAUAUAAAAUAGUUUAAUCAUUUUAAUAUGUAUUCCACAAUUCCACAACUUUUAAAUUUUUCUACGGCUUAAUUUUUUUUCCGCAGCUUAAUUAUUUUUUUCGCGAUUAAGCGAUAGUUACCAAUCGGAGCUUUAGUUGGAAUAUUGGCCAAAUUUUGUAAAUACACGUAUAUAAUAUACCUAGAGGAACGGUUAUAGUUGCAAUAUACUAAACAUGUAAUAUAAUCUAUGUAUUAAUGACAAUGAAUAUAUAAGCUAAAAAUUUAUAUGUAAUAAUUGAUUUUAUAUUCUAAAAAUUUAUAUGUAAUAAUUGAUUUUAUAUUCUUAUACGCAGUAUUUCAAAAGAAAAAUUCUUAUAUGGCAAUUUAAUUUACAUGUAACCACUAAUUUAAUCUAUUCAAGCGAUAAAAUUUGUUAUAAACCAAAAUAACUAAAAUUUAUUAACUAAAAAAUCCAUAAUAUAAAAUUAAUUUUUUUAACAAAAUUUUAUUUAUGUAAUAUUAAUAUUUUUUUUAAAGUAUUUCAUCGUGAGCAGGUCACCUAGUAUAUAGUUAUUAUAUAAAGUAUUAAGACAAAUAUAUUAGAAAAUAUAUCUGGAAUAGUUACGGACAUUCUGAUCUAUAUAAUCUAAAUCACAUGGAUUCCAAAUAAAUAGCCAACAUGCUGAUCCGGAUCGAAUCAAGAAGCCAAAUAAAAUAGGGACCUACAUUCAAAUGAUAUCGAGAAGACUUUUUCUUCCAUAUCUGUAUUUGCUUCAAAAGAGGAAGGAGGCUUUGCUUAGUGCGGAAUAAUAAUCUCUCAACUUGGUGAACAUUGGUUAAAUGUUACGUUUAUUAUGCUUAAGAGUUAAGAGAUCCAAAUCGAGUCUGGGUGCAUAAAAGAAAUAAGCCAAUGAGAAAGGUCCACGUAUGUGGACAGAGAUAGUUGAUAAAUGUGAGGGACACAAUGCAGUGCAUCAUCAUCGAGAUCAUCUCUCCUUCAACUUUACUUUGGUGGUAUCAAUCAAUCACUUCCCCCUCCCCCCCACCUCGACUUUUUCUCAAUCACGUCUCUUCCUCAUUAUCUUCGGAUCGUAGAUAGAAAACGUGUUUCUCAGAUCGAUUCUUUGAUUGUAAUAUUUUGAUUUUGCGACAGGUAGAACGAGUGAUGAUUCGGGGUAUGGAGAUUCAUCAUUUGCUACUGGUAGUCGCUGUGUUGUUGAGCUUAGUUUUAAAUGGAGAAGGCGGGAUCACAAGUAGCUAUGUCCGGUCCGAAUGGCCCGCCGUUGAUAUUCCACUCGACCACAAAGUUUUCAAAGUCCCUAAAGGCUACAACGCUCCUCAACAAGCGAGUCAUCUUACACACUGUUUUUUUUAUUUGAAUCGAGAAACUAACUAACAAACAUGUAAUAAAUUAAUUAAAUUAAAUUAGGUACAUAUAACACAAGGUGAUUAUGAUGGAAAGGCAGUUAUCAUCUCUUGGGUGACUCCUGAUGAGCCUGGCUCCAGCACAGUCCAUUACGGCCCCAUGCAGGGGGAAUACGACUUUGUGGCUAAAGGCAGUUACUCUAACUACACUUUCUACAAAUACAAGUCUGGCUACACCCAUCACUGCCUUCUCUCUGGCCUUGAGGUGUCAACAGUACCCACAUGGAACUGCAUAUUUUUAUCUGAUCUUAGUUUAUAUAUCAUUCAAAUGCAAAUUAUUGGGGGUUAAUAUUGCAGUAUAAUACAAAGUACUAUUACAAGAUUGAAAGUGGUGAAUCUUCUAGGGAGUUUUGGUUUGUUACACCACCCCAUGUACAUCCAGAUGCAUCUUACAAGUUUGGUAUCAUAGGUAUGUCACUUAUUGUCUCUCAACUGAGUUGAUCUUCUGCUACUGCUGCUCUUUCUUAUAAGAUUUCAUUGUUAGGCGACCUGGGCCAAACGUUCAACUCCUUGUCCACCCUGGAACACUACAUGCGGAGUGGAGCUCAAGCUGUCUUAUUCCUUGGAGAUCUCUCUUACGCUGACAGAUAUCAGUAUAACGAUGUUGGUGUCAGAUGGGAUACUUGGGGCCGUUUCGUCGAGCCCAGUACCGCUUAUCAACCCUGGCUCUGGUCUGCAGGCAACCACGAAGUCGAUUACAUGCCAUACAUGGUAACAUAUAUAUCUUGAGACUCAUCUUUGAACACUCUUAGUUAGUUGUAACUUGUCACUCUAUUCUGUCUUUUUUUACAGGGGGAAGUGACACCUUUCAAGAAUUACCUUGAGCGUUACACUACGCCAUACUUGGCUUCAAAAAGUAGCAAUCCUCUCUGGUAUGCUGUUAGGCGUGCCUCCGCUCACAUCAUUGUCCUCUCCAGUUAUUCUCCUUUUGGUAAUAUCAUCAUCCUCUCUGCUUCUAACACUUGUCUUAUAAAUAAAAGGUUGGUUUAUACCACUGAGUAGAUGUGAUUGUUGUGCAGUGAAGUAUACCCCGCAGUGGAGAUGGCUUGAUGCAGAGUUCAAAAGAGUAGACAGGGAGAAAACUCCUUGGCUAAUUGUUCUGAUGCAUUCCCCUAUUUACAACAGUAAUGAAGCACACUUCAAGGAGGGUGAAAGCAUGCGAGCAGCUUUUGAGGAAUGGUUUGUCGAAUACAGAGUUGAUGUAGUCUUUGCUGGACAUGUUCAUGCCUACGAGAGAUCGGUAACAUAAACUUCAUUUAACUUAAAACUCUCCUUAGUGUUUUUUUUUGUAAGCUUAAUUGCAAAAUAUUUGUUUAAACCAUCAGUACCGAGUAUCAAAUGUGCGGUAUAAUGUGUCAAGUGGAGACCGCUUCCCAGUUCCAGAUACGUCAGCUCCUGUUUAUAUCACAGUUGGAGACGGAGGAAAUCAAGAAGGUCUUGCGGGAAGGUGAGUGACAUGAACAAAUCUGACAAUGAGCCUUGGAAUGUGAUACAGUUAACCUACAACUAAAAGACUAAGACUUGAGCCGCUAAUAGCUGAGCCUCUUUUGGUUUCAGGUUUAUGGAACCACAGCCAGAUUAUUCUGCAUUUAGAGAAGCUAGCUACGGACACUCCACUCUGGACAUAAAAAACCGAACACAUGCGGUAUACCACUGGAACCGCAAUGAUGAUGGGAAGAAAGUAGCAACAGAUGAGUUUGUGUUAUACAACCAGUACUGGUGAGUUUGCUAGUUCACUUCUUUACUAACGCUUAAAGUAGUAACUGCAGAGCUAAGUGAAAACAAAAAUGCGCAUGAAUGCAGGGGAAAGAACAUUAGACGGAGAAAGCUGAAGAAGCAUUAUAUCAAGAGUGUUGUGGUUGACUGGAUUGCCAGUUGAUUUGCUUACUAAGUAUAGGCGAAGAUAUUCGUCCAACUCUUUGCUCUUUUUCUUUACUACCUAAACCAGAUCUUGAUUACUUAUAUGCUUCUAAUAUUUGUUUGUGCUUAUUCAUCCAUGAACUUAAAUAUUUAAUAUAAACGGGCUAAAACGUAUACACAUGCCUGUAACAUUGUUAGUUAAACUGUCAACAGUUGUAGAGCCAGUGAUGUGCUCAGAGGUUUACGCUUGAAUAUUCAAGCAAGUGCACAGCAAAAUGCAUUAGUAUGGUUAGGUAACUUUGCUAUUUUCCUGUGUUUUUUCCUUAACAUGCAAACAUAAAAGCACUGACGUAAAUAGCUUCUAAAAGGCUCAAAAAGGUUUAUAAUUUAUCUAUGGAUAACCUAGCUGUUGUAUAACGCUCUUUGAUGCUUUCUAGGAAUGAAGAAUAUUAGUUAAGAGAGUUACUUCUCCAACAACCUCAUUAAUGUUCGUUCCAAAGAAGAAUUCAAAAUCAAAACUCGCGCGGGUGCGCGGAUCAAGCUCUAGUUUGUUUUUAUAAUACAUAUACUUAAUAUACGUAUAACAACUAAAUUAGUUACGCUUAAAGUAGUAACUGCAGAGCUAAGUGAAAACAAAAAUGCGCAUGAAUGCAGGGGAAAGAACAUUAGACGGAGAAAGCUGAAGAAGCAUUAUAUCAAGAGUGUUGUGGUUGACUGGAUUGCCAGUUGAUUUGCUUACUAAGUAUAGGCGAAGAUAUUCGUCCAACUCUUUGCUCUUUUUCUUUACUACCUAAACCAGAUCUUGAUUACUUAUAUGCUUCUAAUAUUUGUUUGUGCUUAUUCAUCCAUGAACUUAAAUAUUUAAUAUAAACGGGCUAAAACGUAUACACAUGCCUGUAACAUUGUUAGUUAAACUGUCAACAGUUGUAGAGCCAGUGAUGUGCUCAGAGGUUUACGCUUGAAUAUUCAAGCAAGUGCACAGCAAAAUGCAUUAGUAUGGUUAGGUAACUUUGCUAUUUUCCUGUGUUUUUUCCUUAACAUGCAAACAUAAAAGCACUGACGUAAAUAGCUUCUAAAAGGCUCAAAAAGGUUUAUAAUUUAUCUAUGGAUAACCUAGCUGUUGUAUAACGCUCUUUGAUGCUUUCUAGGAAUGAAGAAUAUUAGUUAAGAGAGUUACUUCUCCAACAACCUCAUUAAUGUUCGUUCCAAAGAAGAAUGCAAUAAAUUUUACAUGGGGAGAAACUUUUCUUGUAGCUUCGUUCUAACUCUCUAGUGGGACCGUCUGUACAGUCCCAACCAGUUUGAAACUGUUAAAACAGAAAUAAAUUUUUGAAAAAGAAGUGUUUGGAAAUUAUUUCAUUGCGUUUAUUUGGUCUAUAAAGUUUGUUCUGAAAGAUAGGUACACUUCUUUUUCUAAUCAAAUAAUUGAAUGGAGCUGUCAUAAAAGUCCAACAUGCAGCAGCUCCCCUAAGCACAUGCAGGCACAACAACGUUGGGCAUAUGCACAAACACAAUAGAAUAUGGAGCUAUUGUUAUUGGAUCUGUUGAGUUUACAUGUAUCGGUUCCAGUGGAGGUAUGUCACCUAUCGAGUUAACCUGCAGUGCAUGACCGUUGAGUAGCAUAGUCUGGCUGUGUAAAUUUGCGUCCUUUGCUGUCAAAUGGUACUCUUCUCUUUGGGUUUCACCAUUAGAGACCCAAGGCAUCUGGGAAGUCCUUGCUAUUUUCUGAGACGUCUUCCUGUGUCUUAGUUUGUAAGUGUUAUUUAGCUCUACGUUCGCCACAACUGUUGUAGUGUUGUCAAGGUUCAUCAGUAAAACUGUGAUCCCUUUCUGCAUGAUUAAAACUUAAAUAGUUACUUCAAGAAGAAAUAAUGCGUUUUUUUUUCUUCUGAGUUACAUGUAUGGAAACUAUGACUUACCGAUUGUCUUGCACAAUGGGUGUAUGAACGUAUCUUUUUGGUUCCGGAAAAGGUUGUGAACAAUGCCUUUCUUCCCAUAAGUCGUCGCCAGAUCAGAGCACUGCAGUUUGACAAGCAGCAUCACUUGGUUAAAAUUUUAAAAUUUGUUCACAGGUUUCAUCUUUUAUAUUAAUUACCUGUAAUAGUCAGGAUUGGGAGUGAAAUUAGUAGUAUUUAGCAGACCAUAGUUUCCUCCGAUCAGAGACUGUCUACAAUAAGUUUUUGUAUCAUAAACUGAUGCCAUACCAAGCUGGUCCAGGUACCUACCAUCGUGCAAUAUAAUAUCAUUUUUGAGUAAAAGUCAAGCUAAUAUGUUUAUCUUCUUCUUCUUCUGGUAUGAUGUCCUUUUCUUACCAGAAACUAUAAACGAAAGCAUUAGAGACAAGAUUACGACCGCUGUUGUAAGCGCCACCAGCCUCACCAACCCACGCCACAGCCUUUGUUGAGGAGUUGUUGAUUAUGUUCUUUAGGCUGCGGAACGUUGUUGCCUCUUGGUCCAGGUACGAAGGGUUUAGAAUCUUUUCUAUCAGAUGCUGGUCCACUCCUAAUCCAUCAUUAAUGUAAUUCUUUCUUUUUUUUUCAUUCAGAAGAUAAAAAAGGGAAAAUGGAGAAGCUAAGCUGCUUGAUGAUGUGAAGCCUUUACCUGGACCGAGGUCGUAGAUGUGACGAGUGGUGGCAUUGAGAGAGUUUUCAGUUUUGUUCAAGUAUUCUGUGAACCAAGCAGCGUCAAAGAAACCACCAGGUCCUAUCACCAGUGGCAUGGGACUCACAUCCUUAUAAACCCGGUUCACAAUGUCUCGAAGAGCUAUGGUGUCCGUAGCAUACUGACUUGCUGCAACUCUUGUACCAACACCACUUCCACACAGCUCAUUGCCUUUUGAGGAAAAUAAAAUAAAAAGAUUAGAAAAUGUUAAGAUAUUUGCAUAAUGUUAUGUCAGGUGACAUACCGAGCUCCCAACCAUCGACCGUGUGGUUGUUCUGUACUAUAUAUUGGAUGAAUGAUUCAGCAUUGGUGUAAUCCCAGGCUCCUACGGCUUCGCCAUUAGAUUGUAUGCUCCGACCAGAGAGUGCAUUCAGCCCGAAGAUGACUUUAGCUCUGAUUGAGACCACACAAGAAUGUAAGGGAGGAUGUAAACACAUAGUCGAAAGAAAGAUGAGAAUUUAAAGGUUACCCGGUUUUGCUAAAGAAGUCAUUAAGCUGGUUCCAUCGGCGCAUGGGCAGACAUCCUUGUGUGUAGCCAAAGAGAAGGGAAGUGUUUUGGGUGAAAGGAAGACAAGGCUGUUUCUGAUCUGGUGUCUCAUAUAUCACCAAGUCUUGUAAUGUUCCUCCUAUUCUUAUUUUCAAUGGAGCAAAUUCUGUAUAUUUUUUUUUUGAAAUUGAAAAAUGUCAAAUUUUGAACAUUAAGAUUUAGAAUUAUCAGAAAUAUGAUAUGGUUACAUACCUCUGAUUGCAUUCUGAAAAAUAGUGUUAUUCAGGUCCUGCAAGAAAGAUCAACAUAUAUCCAAGUUAAAGUACGCUUCAUUUUACUAAAAUGGCAUUGGAUUUGGAUCUUGGUACAUAAUGAUAUUUGACUUCACGUUCCAUAAAUGGUAAAAAGAGUAAUAAAUGGAGUUCUAUAAUAUCUACAAUGUUCUUUUCUAUUUUAUUAAUUCCACUUCUAAAAGAAACAAACAAACAAAAAAAAAUCGUCUCAAACAACAGAAAAGAGACCACAUCAAGAUCUUAGCUAAUAGUCGGCAGAUAUAUGAUUUCCAGAGAUAAAGCCAGAAGGUUAAUCACCCAACAUCCCAAAAACAUGAAAAAAAACUGCAAAUCCACCUCUUAAAGCUAUACUAGCUCAAAAAAGCUAUACUAGCUCAACAUACAAAGUGAACCUCUACUAAAAUAAAAUAAAAUAAAAAUAAACUUCUACUGUUUUAUUUCUUGGUAAAAGAUUUUCAACAGAAAGUAAAGAUUUUCAAGAAAAAGCCUGCUACACACCGACUUAUAAUACACGUGAAGUGUUUUUCUUUUUCUUUUUUCCUUUUAAAAAUACACAAGUUGCAUUGUUUUCGACGGAAACAAAACGGCAAAAAUGUAAAAGAGAGGAAGAAGAAAACCAGGUUAAGAAUCGAAGCAUGGUCCCAAGCACAAGUUCCGUAGUCACAUUUCUGAGGUGGCCACCAAUCUUUACGAGCAGUAAAUUAGUUAAUUACUGACAGCUCCAACUAUAAUUUGCCACGUAAUCUCCAAGUUUUCCCAUCUCCGACUAUAUUUCGGAAACUACCUGUUUGAAUCAGUCCAAGUCGACUGACUUUUGGUCGGGAAUCGCGUCUUUGUGUGAAGCUAAAUCUCUUUAGAAGAUUUGCUUUCAUAAUACUUGUCAAAUGGAUCUUAACUCAAGAAUGAAGUGCACAUUUUCACUAAUUAUCCAAUGUACUUGAGCUUGUUCUUGAUCAGAGGAUACGGCCGCCCCAUCGCCUAGUCUAUAUUUACCAAGUGAUUUUUAAAAAUUUGUUUAUGUGUCUUCUUUACAAAGAGUCUCACAAAAAUAAGAUGACAUGGCAUCUUUAAAAUUCCACAUGGCAUGUCAUUAGGCAAAUCAAAACUUUCAACUCUUAUUUCAAUCGUGGCUCACAUCUAUAUAAUAAAGUCUCACCGACAAAAAACAUAGCAUGUCACACAUAAAAAAUCUAUUCAACAAAGACUCAAUAAAUAAAAUUUGCCAAAGUGAUUCUUGCACUCUAUUCUAUGAAGUCAUCCAAAUACACAUGGCCAACUCAUGAAAAUGUAUUAUAAUUUUAUUAUGAUUUGACUAUAAUAUACAGAAAGUUCACGUUACAACACUUCGUCAAUAUCAGGUCAUCUUAUUUUUGCGUGAUAAUAUCACGUUUCAUCACUUCAUCAAUAUCUUUUAACCGAAUGAUCAUUUUAUGUUGUAAAGGAGUUAGGCACAUAGCAUAAUGAGACGUCUUCAAAACAUAAGGAACCAGCAGAAUUCUUGUGUGUUGAUAUAAGUGACUUUUACAUAUUUAUAUUUUUAUAGUCUAUUACUUCUAUUUCUUCAAAAUCUUAUUAUUAUGGUUUGAAAUAUGUUCCAGGGAUCCAAGUGGUAUGAAUAUAAUAGUAUUCAUAUGAGAAAAGAAAAUUAUGUCAAUCUCCUUGAUCAUCAAGAUAAAUCCAAGUUGUUGGAAUGGAUGGAGAAUAACAAGUUACAUGGGUCCAUACGUAAUUUUGUUUGGGAUCCAAAAUCUAAAACGUGGAAACCAAAAUUUUAAAUUUUCAGAUCAAUUUAUUCUUCAUUGUUUUUAUUGUUUUUCAGUUAUAUUUUAAUUUUUAUUGUAUUUUUUAAAUAUUCAGUUUUCAAUCAAUAAUAAAGUCAUUUUUAUAAUUAUUAUGUUCCAGGUUAAUUAUUAAUGACGUCAAAAACACACAGAUCUCCUCAUAAUACAUUAUAAAUGAAGUAGAUUACAUAUACAUUAUUUUCGUCAUUUGUGGUUUCUUCGUUGCACCACAUUAAAAAAUAUAUUAUAAGUUGUUUAUCAAUAAUGAACUACCAUUCAAACGUGUUUGAUUGAAAAUCAUAUAUUUUCAAUAUCAAUUUCCUUCCUUUAAUUGUUAAAUCAUUGAUUGAUAUGAACAUUAACUAUGAAUAGUAAUUGCAUUUUUGUGUGUGAAUUAAAUAAGAUGCGUGACACACAAUUCUAAAUAUGUUGUAACCAUAUAACACACAAGAAAAAAAAACACAUAUAGAAAGAACGUGUUCAUAUUUAAUUCACCAUACGUAUCGCAUUAAUGAUUACCAAUUAAUAAUGAAUUAACAACAUCACGUAACAUAUAUUCUUCACAUUUAAUUCUCAUGAUAAAUAGUAUGAAGAAUCAUUAAUCGUGAAUUAAUGCGACGCAUUAAUAUGGUAAAAAUUAAGGUAAUGCAAUAAUUGGUAAUCAUAUAUUAUCACGUGUAUGCAAGAUCAACGCUGUUAUAUAUAUAUCUUUUACAUUUUAUUGCUUACUACAUUUUAAAGUUGUUUAUUCUUAAAAGCUUAAUAUCAUGUCGGUUAUUACAAAAAACGAAGCAAAGGAUCUACGUAAGCUGUGGAAGGAAGAUGAUGAAGAAAAUAUUGAAGCUAUUAAAGAAGCACGUUUUUGGUCAUCAUGCCGGGAUCUACGUAAGCUGUUUUGUGUCAUAUUGCUUUCACAUAGUAUCACAAGUCCACAAAACGUAUAGAAUGCUACUUGGGAAAUACUAUCAAAAGAUAUAUUAUGCAACCAAAGAAAAAGUAGGGAUAAUCCAAGUAAGCUCACAUUUUUAACAAUAAAAAUAAUAAUUAUAUAUUAUGAUUGGAAUUUGAAUUCAAUGUUUUUGUUUUUUCAGAUUUGACUUUAUCAGAAGAUCAAAUUAAGAGUUUAAGCUUGGAGGAGAUUGAAUCAAUCAUGCGUAUGAACGGAAGCUCAUUGUCGUCGUUUAAGUUUUGAAACGUGUUAUCAAUAGUAUACUCUUCUAUUGGUAAAGCGGUGGCUUUUGAAAGAUUUUUUAUUAAUGGGAAUUUUUUGUUUUAUUAAUUCGGUUAUUGUCAUGAUAUAAAUCAAUAAUAAAGGGUUUUUCAUACUAUUUUUAACGAGCUUUCUAUUAUCGUGCAUAUAUUCAGUAGUUUAAUAAUGGUAUUUUCCCAAUGAUCUGUUAAAUAACUAAGUCUAUAAUCUUGAAAUAUAUUAGAAUAAUGAGAAAAGUAUUAAGAAGGAAUAUAUAAAGUUAAUUGGAAUAUAAAUCAAAAGUGAUUUAACCUAAUAUGCGUUAAAUAUUCUAAUAUAUAUUGAUCAAACAUGCGGAAAAGUGAAGUUCGUAGGUGACAUUAUUAUAUUUAGAUUGCAUGCCACGCCAAUAUAUUCCUAUAGUUAGGGAUCAUGACAGAUUACAUUCAUUAAGUCAUUAAUGUUCAUAUAAUAAAAGGAAAUAAAUUAAAAAUUAAGAAUAUCAUAUUAUUCUUACGUGAAUGACGUGAAACACAACUCAAUAAAUACUUCACCUUUGUUUUAAAAAAAAUAACGACUCUUAGUCACAUAAUUAUCUUACAAUAUUAAUACUCAUCUUAAUAAAUGCACUUCUCAAUAAACUCUUUCAUUAUAUGUGUCACGUAAGUAUUUUCUACAUUUGAUACUCAUAACAUUUACCUUGACGAAGAAGUCACUAUAUAUAUCUCAUUAAAUAUGAAAAUAAUAAAGGAAGGAAAUCAUUAUUGAGAAUAUAUUAUAUAUUGAAUAAAAGGAAUGAAAUUAUUAUUGAAUUAAUUAAAUGAACCACAUUAAUUGACUCAAACUCUAAUAUAUAUAUAUGACAUACGACAGGUUAGUGCAAGCAGAUUCUUGUACUUUGGAAGGCAAACAAAAACGCUGCUGGAAUUUCCCUUGAAAUGGUUUUGGUUGAUGAAGAGGUUAGUUCGUCAUCCAUACAAACAUAUAUAUAGUAUUGUGUUAAUUUUUACAUGUUACUUAAUUAUAAUAAAAACUUUGAAUAAAUGAUAAUUUCUGGCCGUAAAUCAGUUCUUAUUAUAAUAGUGUAUGUGUUUGUAGGGAACAAGGAUUCAUGCUCAAGUUGAAGAAGACAUGAGCAAGCCACACCAAAAAUUUCUGAAAGAAGGUCAAGCUGUGAUCAUCAAUGCUUUCCAGUUGAAAGAUUAUCUUGGGGAAUUUAGGACCAAUCCUUAUCCUUACAAGAUAGGAUUCUUCCGAACAACUAAGGUUAAACCUGCUGAUGGUUUUCCAGAAACUAUUCCUCAGAAAUAGUUUGCAAACUUUGACCAUAUAUUAUCGGGACAGCUUGAUAAAAACGUCUUGGUUGGUAAGUUUUGUCACUUUAAUUAUUAUCGAAAAUAAUUUUUAAUUUAAAUCCAGAAUAUAAUAUAAUUAUUUAAUAUUUGUAUAUUACAGAUGUGAUUGGUCAAAUUGUCAUUGUUGGACCAUUGGAGCAAAUUAAACAAAGGGGCAGAAUAAUACAAAACUUGAUAUUGUUCUACGUGAUGUCAUAUAAGUUUAUUUCCAAAUUUUACGUGCGUUGUACUCUACGGAGAAAAAACACUAACACAAUAAUUAUGUAGGAAUGUUCAUUUGACAUGUACUUUAUGGAGCAACUUUGCCAAAAAAAGUGAUGGUAUACACUGAAAAGAACAAUACUACGGUUGUUAUAUGUGUUGUUAAGUUUGCUUGCAUCAAGGAUUACAAAGGUAAGUUACGCUAUUAUGAAACUUGUAUAUGUCUUUUCAUUCUUAUUUAUAAUAAAUAUUAGAAAGUACAUUUUUUAAAGAUCCUAUUGAUUUUUACGCUAUUGAGAGGAGCUUACGUAAACCACGGAGACAGCUGACCAUUGCACUAGCGGUGAGGCAGACGAGCAAGGAGGAUGUCCCGUGGUGAUCUAUAUGAACAUAUAAACAAUAUAUCUGUGUCCACCAUUUCUGAUUCAACCCUAAAUACAAUUAUAAUUACUUAAAAAUCAUAAUAUUAUUUAUAUAAAACAUGUAUUUUAUUCAUUAUUAUAUAAGUCUACUAAAACCGCGCAUCAGCGGACGAAUCACCUAGUUCCCUGUAAGCUCAUUGGUUCCAUUGUUCAUUGGUUCCAAACAAUGAAAACUUUUGUCGGAAAUGGGCUGUAAGCCUGUAACUAGUGUAGAUACGUAUUUCUCCUUUAGUCAGAGACUAUUAUUACUCAAGGAACAAGUACGAGAAGAGAGAAUGAUCAAGGACAAAGGACAGAAGUAUACUUUAGCUAUCCACAUUCGUCAAAACGAUAGUGGCUAAAUGAGCAUUACGCGUCGUCGUUCAAACUGCAUCCACGAUUUAAGCCCACUGAGGGAAUGACCCAACCCAAUACAAGAAAAUGCCCAUAUAAGUUUAUCAAUGUCGAUGAUGCCUACUGCCUACAUAUCAUAAUGAUACCUUGCUAUUUUAAAUUUUUAUAAAUCACUCGAUGUCAUAUAAAACAUCUUUGCAUUUGAAUAUGAACACGUAAAUCUUAUGACUAAACGUAACUCUAAAUAUUGAUUAACAUUAACGUCAGAACUCAAGACCCCAAAAUCAUGUUUGCAAUUUCAUUCUUCUUUAAUCACACCUCUAGUUAAUUCUCUUCUGUUUGCCUACAUCUUUUCAUGAUUCAUGAUUGUUAAUCUAAUCUUUUAGGUACUACGAUAAGAAGUUGCACUAACUUGAUCUUACUAUUAUAUAUUUGUCCGUAUUAUCAAACUCUGCUUAUAAGUUCAUAAUUUUUGCUAUUAGUUCCUUCAGCUUUUGGAUCUUUAUAAUUCAAAUUAUUGGUUUCCCUUAAAACUGAAAAAAUAAUCAAAUCCACAAUAUGUAUGGUUUUCAAUUUGAUUAUUUAAUUUCUUAAUCGAGCAGAAAGUAUUCAAACCAAAAUCAACCUGUAAACUGGACGAGGCAUCUCUAAACUAUUCUAGUAACGUGGUACCAUUUCAAAGCAACCAAUUUUAUACGACUAUUCUUUCUCGACAUCUCGUCCCCUGUAUAUUAAUGGAGAAUCAUUGUAAUAAUAGACACGUAGCAGUCUCACAAUGAUUUGAUAAUAGGUAUGCUAACGCGUUCACACUAUAUUCAUAAAUGUGUUUACACUAUAUAUUUUGUAUUUAAAUAUAAAACCCACAUGCAAGGUUCCAAUAAAACUUUGAAUUUUUCGGUUCAAAUCAAAACAAAUAACGAAUAUAUAUAUAUAUAUAUAUUUUUUUUUUUUUUUGUUGGGCAAAAUAUUUAUAAAGUUUGAUUCGAUUUGUUAUCCGUUUUGAUUUGAACAAAAAAAAUAUGGAUAUCCGAACUCUACGAAGCAAAUCAAAUAUUAAAAAAAACAAAUAAAAAUACCAAUAUUUUUAGGAACGGAUAUCUAAUUUGAUCUGUUAUAUGCAUAUAUAUACAUAUAUGUACAUAAUUAUAUAUAUAUAUAUAUGUUAUAUAUAUUUUAGUUUAUAUUAGUUAUACAAUAUUUUUAUGAAUUAAAUUUAUUAUAUUAGGCAUUAAAAUUUAAAAAUUUAAAUAAUAUUUUAUUUUUGUAAGAAAAUGUUAUUGUUAACUUUUUGAAUUAUUUUUAUAAUUUUAUUUUAUUUACGGAUCAAAUCAGAUAUUAUUUAAAAUUCUAAAUCAUUUCGGAUAUCAGAGUCCCCGACUAUCCAGGUGGCUAAAGAUUGAAUCGAUAUAAAUGCUUCCAAAUACUCGGAUAUUCGAUAUGUGUCCAUCUCUAUUUACGGAUACAAUAUAUUAUUCUUUAUAUUAAAAAAACUCACUAAUGUCAAGGCCUUUUUAAUUUUUAAUUAAUUUUAAUUUUAUCUUUCAUGUAUUAUUUUGAACCAAAAUGUCAUUUAAUAUUAAUUAACAAUAUCUUUAUAUAUUUGUCAACUAUUUUUAUAUACUUUUACAUACACAUAUAUAUGCACUUUGAUGUGAGCAUCUUGUAACUAAGUAUUUACCAUAACUGAAGUAUCUAUUUUUUUUUUUAAGUUGAAAUAUUUUUUUUUUCUUAAUGGUUCUUUCACUACCGACCAAAUUGUAGUGAAAUAAUUUGUCUUAAUAAUUUUCUUUUUUUCUUGGACUAUUAUCCGUUUACAAACUAUGAUAUGAAACCAUUGGUUCGACAUAACAACUAUCUAAAAUUCAUAACAUGAAAAUAAAUAAAUAAUAGUAAUUUUUGGUUUUUACCGAAAAAAACAAAACAAAUCAAACAUUCUAACCGAAUAAACAAAAAUAAAUAUUAAUUUAAAAUAAUAGUUAUAUUUUAGGAGAUUAAAAACCAAAAAAUAACUUAAAACCGAACCGAUAUCCUGAUUAAACAGAUUUAAUGUGUUUUUAUUAAAUAUAACGAAACUAAUAAUCACAUUUCGCGCAAGGCGCAGGUUAUUACCUAGUAUAUAUUAAUUGAGAAUCAUUUAAAAAGUUGUAACCUUAAGUUUGUACUAAUUACAAAGAGAUCAUGCAUAGGUGUCACUAAAUUAGGAUGUCAAUUUAUCUUACGUGUCAGCUUAAGAAUCAAUUGGAAAAAAUGUUGGUCCAAAUUUAAUUAUUAGAAAACAUUAUAUUAACCCAAAAUAUAAGAAGCAUGUAUUCUUUCCUUAAAUAAAAGCUAUGAAAUUACCUAAUAUGAUUAACAUAUAUACGGUUAAUUAAUGACUAUGAAUAAUAAAGAUUUGAUAAUAAUUUUUGCAUCCUUCUUCUUUUUUAUUUAAUUUUAUAUUAUUAAAAAACAAUCAUAUUAACCAUAUAAUAAAAAAUAGAUUUUUUUCUUGUAUGUUAUAUUUUGAAUUUUUUAAAAUGACUUUAAAUUACAAAAUGAGGAAACCUUAUAUGUUAUAUUUUAAUUUUUUUAAAACGAUAUUAAAUUAAAAAAUAAGGAAAUCUUAUAUGUUAUAUUUUUCUUAUAUGUUCUACUUUAUUUUUUUUUAAAUGAUUUUAAAUUACAAAAAAUUAAAUUUUCCUUAAGCAUAUGACAAAAAGCAUUAAAAUGACAUGUAUCAAUUCGAUGGUUGAUUUAAAACCUUUCAAAACUAUAUGGAAGAUAAAAAUCAAAAUAAUUCAACUAUGAAAACAGUACUGUUCACUUUUUCCGAGAAUGUGUUCGGUGGAAAAAAAAGUUUUGUGUCAUAAUUUGCUUAAUGUCUAAUCCGAUAUAUUAAUUAGAGUUUAGUUCCAUAAUUUUUUAAUAAAAAUUGAUCCGGUCCAUCAGAAAAAAAUUAUAUAAUAACAACAAAAAACAUUGUAUAUAUAAAUAAAAUGGUCAUAUAUAUAUAUAUAUAAAUUGUUGAUAAUAUAUAUAAAUAAACUCACCAUGCGCAAGACGCAUGUCUUAUAUUAGUUUAGAAUAUAUUUGAUCAACUAUACGAUAUGUCAGACAAUACAACUACAAGUACAAUUAAUAACACUUAGAACACAACUAAUUUCUCAGUUUGCAUAGUAAACAACUUUUUUCUUCAAAAAAAAAAAAAUCUUACUGAUCAUAAUAUAUUAAUGUUUUAAAAACUUAGUACAUUAAAAAAAUUAGUCAAAAAACUUCGUUCGUAACUAUUUUUGUUUUGUAACACUAGUACAUAACUAUUUAUCUUCUUUUUUUCUUUGUAAAAAUACAUAACUAUUUAUCUUCUGAUAAAGAUUUCAUCUACUAAAAUAUAGCCAAUGAUCUAGAUUUCAAGAAUGACGGUGUUUCAUAAUAAGCUUACUAGUGUUUGAUUUUUUUAUGUUUAAAAUUAGCCUUGGACAUUCGGGGUCCCAAUCUGGUUUCUGUUUUAUCCAAUUGGGUCUUGGUUUUUCGGUUUUAUCAAAAUCAGCCUCAUUCGGAUUAUAUGAAAGUUUGGUUCGGGUUAUAUCGGGUUCGGGUUGGAGUUAGUAAACAUUCAAAGAACUGGUACAACCCAAUGUAUUUUCGGGCUUGGAUCCCAAUUGGUUCUUCAGUUUAAAAGUAUCUGAUUUCUACCUACUUUGUAGCCAAAAUAUAAGUAAAAUCGGUUCUUCGAUUUUAAAGUAUCUGAUUUGUACCUAUUUUGUAACCAAAACGCAAGUAAAAUUGAUUUAAAAAUAAGAAAAGAACAUCAAACGUGAUCAUUUAAAAUCAAAUGAAAGGUAAACAUAGUUAUUGAUAGAUAGAGAACCAAAUAAAUGAAAGCAUAAAACGAAAUCCAAAUUCUCAUGAAAUGAGAAACAUUAUUCAAUGAAAACAAAACCAAAAUCUAAAAAUUUCAAGCUUCAACUGACAUCUUCAAUUAUCAACCUUCAUGUAAUAGAUAAUUAUUUUAGAUGUUCAAUAAUAUUUUAUUGUAUUUUGGAUAUAUAUUAGGAAUUGAGAUCAUAUUUGGUACAAGUUAUUUUUUGGGAUUCUGAAUAUUUCGGGUUCUAUCGAAUAUUCAUUUAGGUUUGGGUUCGGUUCGGAUAAUACCCACAAGCCAAAAUACCAUAAAACAAGAUCCAUUAGAUAUUUAUAUGGGGUUCAGAUCGGUUCGGAUUCAUUUUUAUCGGAUCAGAUUCGGUUUAUUUGUCCAGCCCUAUUUAAAAUCCAUUGUUAGCCGGAUAAAUUAAGAGAAAUAGAACUCUAAAUAAACAUAAAAUCAUAACUAUCAAAGACAUGUAUCCUUCUCGAGCAUAUGAUAGUUGAAUCCUAUUAUUAUCACAUUUAAAUUACUAACCUGUAAUUGUUCUUGGACUUAAAAGUUAUCUUUAUAAUAUAUAUUUUCACGAUAAAUAGUCUAAAGAUUCUUUUAACUAAAGCAAUAUUAUCAGAAAAUAUAUAAAUUGACUAUUUUUCUAUAUUUUCUGAUAAUAUUGCUUUAGUUAAAAAAAAUAUAAAUUGACAACCGGGCCUCGUGGUCUGGUGGUAUAGGAACCUCGGCUGAGGUGCCCGCCAUCACGACUUCGAGCCCCGGCCACAGCGGAUUUAACAUUCCUUCCGUUGGGGCGCUGGACCCUCUACGGGGGGAUAGUUGGGAAUGUGGCUGCUCAGAUACCAGAGUUACCAAAAAAAAAUAUAUAUAUAUAUAUAAAUUGACUAUGUGUUACAAAAAAUAUAUAUAUAUAAAUUGACUAUUACAAGACUUAACGUUUUGAUUCUUACAACUGUUACGAAUAUGAAAUUAUUAAUCUGAAAGAUGAUAAUUACAGAUGUUAAAUGUAAUAAAAUUGAGGAUAAAUUUCAAUUACAAAGAUGAUAGAGUUUAUCUCAUGAGGAGUAAAGAGUUAAAAAGAAUAAGACAGAACAAAGAGAGGCUCCUCGUAUUUAAUAAACCCAUCUUUCUCACACGACCUUUCACCUCUAAAGACUCCCAACAUAAAAUAAAACUUGCAAGGUAAAAUAUAAACGUAAACUUUGCCAAGUUUUCUUCUCUAACUCACACUCCCACGAAACCUUAAAACGUUUUUCCUCCACAACUCAGGAAAAAAAAAAAUACACUAAACGUUUUUUGUUUGUGUUUGGUCUUCUGACUACAAGGUUUUUUUUUCUCACAGACAUUCUCCAUGAAAGACAAAGCCUUUGUUCCCGCGGUUUUAUUGCUCUGUUUUUGGGUUCUGCUGAGUUCAGGUUCGUCGAGACUGUUGCAGAGUGAUGAUAAAGGUAACGAGUUGAAGAAUUACAUAAGCUGGGAAGACCUGAGAGUUGUGGAAGAAGUUGGAAGAGAGAGGAGGAGCUCCAGCGUUAAGGUGAAGGAUAAUAAUUUGGUAAACCAAGAAAGUAAUAUGGCGACUGUAAACGCGAGCAGGGUGAUCGUGGUUGAUAAGAGAGGAAGAGGAGACUCUGUUACAGUUCAAGGAGCUGUUGAUAUGGUUCCCAAUUCCAAUUCUCAGAGAGUUAAAAUCUUAAUUCUUCCCGGCGUUUACAGGUAAAAUCAAACAAUCUGAUUCAAAGCAGAAACCGUGUUUUGAUUAAAAAUUAGAAACGUUUUUUAAAAAAUAUAUAUAAAUAAAAGCAGUUGAAGCUAAGUUCUUGGGUUAGUGGGGGUUAUCUUACACAUCAGCUACGUGGGGUAGUUUUUGUAAUACAAUCUCUCUCUUUUUGUUGGGCAAAAUAUUUAUAAAGUUUGAUUCGAUUUGUUAUCCGUUUUGAUUUGAACAAAAAAAAUAUGGAUAUCCGAACUCUACGAAGCAAAUCAAAUAUUAAAAAAAACAAAUAAAAAUACCAAUAUUUUUAGGAACGGAUAUCUAAUUUGAUCUGUUAUAUGCAUAUAUAUACAUAUAUGUACAUAAUUAUAUAUAUAUAUAUAUGUUAUAUAUAUUUUAGUUUAUAUUAGUUAUACAAUAUUUUUAUGAAUUAAAUUUAUUAUAUUAGGCAUUAAAAUUUAAAAAUUUAAAUAAUAUUUUAUUUUUGUAAGAAAAUGUUAUUGUUAACUUUUUGAAUUAUUUUUAUAAUUUUAUUUUAUUUACGGAUCAAAUCAGAUAUUAUUUAAAAUUCUAAAUCAUUUCGGAUAUCAGAGUCCCCGACUAUCCAGGUGGCUAAAGAUUGAAUCGAUAUAAAUGCUUCCAAAUACUCGGAUAUUCGAUAUGUGUCCAUCUCUAUUUACGGAUACAAUAUAUUAUUCUUUAUAUUAAAAAAACUCACUAAUGUCAAGGCCUUUUUAAUUUUUAAUUAAUUUUAAUUUUAUCUUUCAUGUAUUAUUUUGAACCAAAAUGUCAUUUAAUAUUAAUUAACAAUAUCUUUAUAUAUUUGUCAACUAUUUUUAUAUACUUUUACAUACACAUAUAUAUGCACUUUGAUGUGAGCAUCUUGUAACUAAGUAUUUACCAUAACUGAAGUAUCUAUUUUUUUUUUUAAGUUGAAAUAUUUUUUUUUUCUUAAUGGUUCUUUCACUACCGACCAAAUUGUAGUGAAAUAAUUUGUCUUAAUAAUUUUCUUUUUUUCUUGGACUAUUAUCCGUUUACAAACUAUGAUAUGAAACCAUUGGUUCGACAUAACAACUAUCUAAAAUUCAUAACAUGAAAAUAAAUAAAUAAUAGUAAUUUUUGGUUUUUACCGAAAAAAACAAAACAAAUCAAACAUUCUAACCGAAUAAACAAAAAUAAAUAUUAAUUUAAAAUAAUAGUUAUAUUUUAGGAGAUUAAAAACCAAAAAAUAACUUAAAACCGAACCGAUAUCCUGAUUAAACAGAUUUAAUGUGUUUUUAUUAAAUAUAACGAAACUAAUAAUCACAUUUCGCGCAAGGCGCAGGUUAUUACCUAGUAUAUAUUAAUUGAGAAUCAUUUAAAAAGUUGUAACCUUAAGUUUGUACUAAUUACAAAGAGAUCAUGCAUAGGUGUCACUAAAUUAGGAUGUCAAUUUAUCUUACGUGUCAGCUUAAGAAUCAAUUGGAAAAAAUGUUGGUCCAAAUUUAAUUAUUAGAAAACAUUAUAUUAACCCAAAAUAUAAGAAGCAUGUAUUCUUUCCUUAAAUAAAAGCUAUGAAAUUACCUAAUAUGAUUAACAUAUAUACGGUUAAUUAAUGACUAUGAAUAAUAAAGAUUUGAUAAUAAUUUUUGCAUCCUUCUUCUUUUUUAUUUAAUUUUAUAUUAUUAAAAAACAAUCAUAUUAACCAUAUAAUAAAAAAUAGAUUUUUUUCUUGUAUGUUAUAUUUUGAAUUUUUUAAAAUGACUUUAAAUUACAAAAUGAGGAAACCUUAUAUGUUAUAUUUUAAUUUUUUUAAAACGAUAUUAAAUUAAAAAAUAAGGAAAUCUUAUAUGUUAUAUUUUUCUUAUAUGUUCUACUUUAUUUUUUUUUAAAUGAUUUUAAAUUACAAAAAAUUAAAUUUUCCUUAAGCAUAUGACAAAAAGCAUUAAAAUGACAUGUAUCAAUUCGAUGGUUGAUUUAAAACCUUUCAAAACUAUAUGGAAGAUAAAAAUCAAAAUAAUUCAACUAUGAAAACAGUACUGUUCACUUUUUCCGAGAAUGUGUUCGGUGGAAAAAAAAGUUUUGUGUCAUAAUUUGCUUAAUGUCUAAUCCGAUAUAUUAAUUAGAGUUUAGUUCCAUAAUUUUUUAAUAAAAAUUGAUCCGGUCCAUCAGAAAAAAAUUAUAUAAUAACAACAAAAAACAUUGUAUAUAUAAAUAAAAUGGUCAUAUAUAUAUAUAUAUAAAUUGUUGAUAAUAUAUAUAAAUAAACUCACCAUGCGCAAGACGCAUGUCUUAUAUUAGUUUAGAAUAUAUUUGAUCAACUAUACGAUAUGUCAGACAAUACAACUACAAGUACAAUUAAUAACACUUAGAACACAACUAAUUUCUCAGUUUGCAUAGUAAACAACUUUUUUCUUCAAAAAAAAAAAAAUCUUACUGAUCAUAAUAUAUUAAUGUUUUAAAAACUUAGUACAUUAAAAAAAUUAGUCAAAAAACUUCGUUCGUAACUAUUUUUGUUUUGUAACACUAGUACAUAACUAUUUAUCUUCUUUUUUUCUUUGUAAAAAUACAUAACUAUUUAUCUUCUGAUAAAGAUUUCAUCUACUAAAAUAUAGCCAAUGAUCUAGAUUUCAAGAAUGACGGUGUUUCAUAAUAAGCUUACUAGUGUUUGAUUUUUUUAUGUUUAAAAUUAGCCUUGGACAUUCGGGGUCCCAAUCUGGUUUCUGUUUUAUCCAAUUGGGUCUUGGUUUUUCGGUUUUAUCAAAAUCAGCCUCAUUCGGAUUAUAUGAAAGUUUGGUUCGGGUUAUAUCGGGUUCGGGUUGGAGUUAGUAAACAUUCAAAGAACUGGUACAACCCAAUGUAUUUUCGGGCUUGGAUCCCAAUUGGUUCUUCAGUUUAAAAGUAUCUGAUUUCUACCUACUUUGUAGCCAAAAUAUAAGUAAAAUCGGUUCUUCGAUUUUAAAGUAUCUGAUUUGUACCUAUUUUGUAACCAAAACGCAAGUAAAAUUGAUUUAAAAAUAAGAAAAGAACAUCAAACGUGAUCAUUUAAAAUCAAAUGAAAGGUAAACAUAGUUAUUGAUAGAUAGAGAACCAAAUAAAUGAAAGCAUAAAACGAAAUCCAAAUUCUCAUGAAAUGAGAAACAUUAUUCAAUGAAAACAAAACCAAAAUCUAAAAAUUUCAAGCUUCAACUGACAUCUUCAAUUAUCAACCUUCAUGUAAUAGAUAAUUAUUUUAGAUGUUCAAUAAUAUUUUAUUGUAUUUUGGAUAUAUAUUAGGAAUUGAGAUCAUAUUUGGUACAAGUUAUUUUUUGGGAUUCUGAAUAUUUCGGGUUCUAUCGAAUAUUCAUUUAGGUUUGGGUUCGGUUCGGAUAAUACCCACAAGCCAAAAUACCAUAAAACAAGAUCCAUUAGAUAUUUAUAUGGGGUUCAGAUCGGUUCGGAUUCAUUUUUAUCGGAUCAGAUUCGGUUUAUUUGUCCAGCCCUAUUUAAAAUCCAUUGUUAGCCGGAUAAAUUAAGAGAAAUAGAACUCUAAAUAAACAUAAAAUCAUAACUAUCAAAGACAUGUAUCCUUCUCGAGCAUAUGAUAGUUGAAUCCUAUUAUUAUCACAUUUAAAUUACUAACCUGUAAUUGUUCUUGGACUUAAAAGUUAUCUUUAUAAUAUAUAUUUUCACGAUAAAUAGUCUAAAGAUUCUUUUAACUAAAGCAAUAUUAUCAGAAAAUAUAUAAAUUGACUAUUUUUCUAUAUUUUCUGAUAAUAUUGCUUUAGUUAAAAAAAAUAUAAAUUGACAACCGGGCCUCGUGGUCUGGUGGUAUAGGAACCUCGGCUGAGGUGCCCGCCAUCACGACUUCGAGCCCCGGCCACAGCGGAUUUAACAUUCCUUCCGUUGGGGCGCUGGACCCUCUACGGGGGGAUAGUUGGGAAUGUGGCUGCUCAGAUACCAGAGUUACCAAAAAAAAAUAUAUAUAUAUAUAUAAAUUGACUAUGUGUUACAAAAAAUAUAUAUAUAUAAAUUGACUAUUACAAGACUUAACGUUUUGAUUCUUACAACUGUUACGAAUAUGAAAUUAUUAAUCUGAAAGAUGAUAAUUACAGAUGUUAAAUGUAAUAAAAUUGAGGAUAAAUUUCAAUUACAAAGAUGAUAGAGUUUAUCUCAUGAGGAGUAAAGAGUUAAAAAGAAUAAGACAGAACAAAGAGAGGCUCCUCGUAUUUAAUAAACCCAUCUUUCUCACACGACCUUUCACCUCUAAAGACUCCCAACAUAAAAUAAAACUUGCAAGGUAAAAUAUAAACGUAAACUUUGCCAAGUUUUCUUCUCUAACUCACACUCCCACGAAACCUUAAAACGUUUUUCCUCCACAACUCAGGAAAAAAAAAAUACACUAACGUUUUUUGUUUGUGUUUGGUCUUCUGACUACAAGGUUUUUUUUUCUCACAGACAUUCUCCAUGAAAGACAAAGCCUUUGUUCCCGCGGUUUUAUUGCUCUGUUUUUGGGUUCUGCUGAGUUCAGGUUCGUCGAGACUGUUGCAGAGUGAUGAUAAAGGUAACGAGUUGAAGAAUUACAUAAGCUGGGAAGACCUGAGAGUUGUGGAAGAAGUUGGAAGAGAGAGGAGGAGCUCCAGCGUUAAGGUGAAGGAUAAUAAUUUGGUAAACCAAGAAAGUAAUAUGGCGACUGUAAACGCGAGCAGGGUGAUCGUGGUUGAUAAGAGAGGAAGAGGAGACUCUGUUACAGUUCAAGGAGCUGUUGAUAUGGUUCCCAAUUCCAAUUCUCAGAGAGUUAAAAUCUUAAUUCUUCCCGGCGUUUACAGGUAAAAUCAAACAAUCUGAUUCAAAGCAGAAACCGUGUUUUGAUUAAAAAUUAGAAACGUUUUUUAAAAAAUAUAUAUAAAUAAAAGCAGUUGAAGCUAAGUUCUUGGGUUAGUGGGGGUUAUCUUCCACAUCAGCUACGUGGGGUAGUUUUUGUAAUACAAUCUCUCUCUCUACAUCUUUUCCGAAAUUCUCGGUUUUUAUAAUUAUUACAGAAUCUCUGUCCGUGUAAUACUCCAUCUCUUGGUCGUUGCAGGGAGAAGGUGAUAGUGCCGAGGACAAAACCGUACAUAUCGUUCAUAGGCAAUGAGAGUUACGCGGAAUACACAGUCAUUACUUGGAGCGAUAAGUCCUCAGACCCUUAUAGCAAUGGUACUGAACUCGGCACUUACAGAACCGCCACUGUUGCAAUCGACUCUGAUUUCUUCUGUGCCACUGCCAUCACUUUCGAGGUCCUAAAACAAAUCUCUCUCUCGAGUUCUUCUUUUUCUACAUGCAUUUUGAAUUUAUAUUUUUCAAGGUUAUAUGGAUAAUGAGCUGCAGAACACGGUGGUGGCAGAGGCGGGAGAAGAAGGGAAGCAAGCGGCAGCGCUAAGGGUAACAGGGGACAAAGCAAUGUUCUAUAAAGUCAGGGUUUUAGGAUCACAAGACACUCUUAAUGAUGCAACUGGUUCUCACUACUUUUUCCAAUGUCACAUCCAAGGAAGUGUCGAUUUCAUCUUCGGCAACGCCAAGUCGCUUUACCAGGUAUAAUAAAACAUCAUAUCAAUUCAUCUUUUGUGUAUAUAGAUAGAAGAAAAAAAUGUAGAAUUUUAUCUGAGGAAAACAUCACAGGACUGUGAUAUCCGCUCAACCGCAAGGAGAUUUGGUGCGAUCGCAGCUCACCAUAGAAGUGAAGAGAGUGAUGAUACUGGUUUCUCCUUUGUGAACUGUGACAUCGGAGGAACCGGGAAGGUUUACCUGGGAAGAGCUUGGGGAAACUACUCGACAACUGUUUAUUCAAACUGUUACAUUGCUGAUAUCAUCACUCCUGUGGGCUGGAGUGACUGGGACGACACUGACAGGCAAAGGUAACUGAAGACUCUCAGCUACCAAACUAAAACCUGCUCUGUCUGAAAAACCAACAAAAAGACUGAUUUCUUUUUUUCUUUGUUUGUGCAGUAAGGUGCUGUUCGGGGAGUAUAACUGCAGGGGAAGAGGAGCAGAGAGAAGAGGUCGAGUGCCGUGGUCAAGGAGUCUUACCCAAGAUGAAGUGAAGCCUUUUCUAGGGAGAGAGUUCAUAUUUGGAGAUCAAUGGUUGAGACUCUAAAACACUUACUGACAAAGGCUACUGUUUGGCUAACAUGAGAUGAUGACCUAAUCAUACUUUUAAUAUACAUUGUGUAAUUAGUACUACAACUGAGCGCAGAGAGAAACAGAAUCUGCGUGCUUUUAAAACUAUUAUUAAAAGAUUUGAUUUUGGUUUUUAAGAUAAGAGAUUUCUUACAAGCUGGUUUAUAAUAACCAAAGUCACCAAAUAAUCCUCUAUUCUAAGAUCAGAUGAAAACAAAUGCACAACCCCACCAAAAUCAUGCCUCCUCAAUUUUUCUAUACAACCUUUCACCUACUCGUCUCUCCUCAGCACCAACCAAGUCAAACCCAUUCUUCUGCAAACUAUGUCGAUAUAUAUACAUACACUAAAGUUACCAGAGACGUGGCACGUACCAGAAUUACCAUCAUUACAUAUUAUAUAUAACCUCAAGAAAGCAUCUUUCUUUACGAUGUCACCAGCGUGGUAGUAGUUUUUGACAGUGUGAAGACUGUUUCUGAUUUGCGAGCCUUCUCAUCAUUACCGUUAACAUCAUCUUCGUUGUGGUCCUGACAUUGGUUACUUCCAAUCUCUUUAUCCUCUUCUUUCGAAAGUAUGCUUUCGUCAUCAUUCUUAACAACCCCGUCAUCUUUAUGCUCUUUGUUCUGUCCUCCUCAAAGAGAAAUGUCCUCGCCUUUAGGUUUUGCAUCCUCGACAAUAUCUGGCAUUGCAAUGGGCUUUGCGUUGGCAUCUUUGGCAAGAGUGGAAGACACGGAAAGCUUGGCUUCCAGGCUAAUAUCAGAAGGUACAAGAGAGAGUAUUUCCGGUUUAGGAUCGAUGUCAACCCAGCAGUCUCCCACCCAGUCUCUAGAAAUCCUAAUAUCCUUCCUCUGCACUGUUAAGCAUAAGUUCUCACCUAACAUCAUGACAACCAAAACACAUGUCAGCCCUAAGAGAAAGAUGCAGAUAGUGCAGGCAACUAGUGAGUGAGAGAUGACAAUAGGAAAACAUUGACUAAAUCAUACCAGGGAUAUAUAUUUGCAAGUCCGGUUUGUCACUGGCAAUGACAACACCUUCCCACCAACCAUCAUUCCACCAUGCAUCAACAGCUUCACCAAUUGUAGGAUCAAAGUCUGCUGGUUUAGCAUCAGGAGGAGCAGGCCGGAUUGUUGGGCGGUUGGACGACCUCAUACCAAGCUUAUCAGGCAUAGCAGAUUUCAAAGCCGGCACCCAUUCCUACUCAUAACAUAAGAAAGAAAAAUACAUAAGGCGAUAAACAAAAGAGUGUAUCAAAAACAAAAAUUUUAAUAGGAAAUGGCUGUGGAAGCGCAUAUAUACCUCAAGGUUUCCGUAUCCAUCCUCGUCCUCUAUAUCAUCAUACUGGAGCUUAACCUGUUUCCUUGAUACUUCCAGGACAGUGCACCUAAACCAGCAGCCUCUUAUACCGCUAUCUUGACACAGAAACUCUAUUUUUGCAUCAGCCUUGAUAACUCCAUUAGAACAAGAAUGUUUAUGAGCAACCGAGGAAGGGAAUCUUCUUCCCGAGGCAUCAAGUUUGAGUCUUUUACAUGAAGAUUCAUAUGCUGUGAACAGAUGGUCAGACAUCAUUCCUCUAUGUUUUUUCUUGCUACGCUCAGCGUCAACCAUUACAUUCUCACCCUCGCUCCACGGUUCAUCUUCCUCUUUAUUCAUCCCACAGUCUACAGGACCAGACUCCAUCGAACUUAAGCAAGACAUUAUCGGUUGAUCUAAAUAUCCACGCAAUUUACUCAAGUCAAAAGGUUUGAUUCUGUAGUUCCUGAGUUGCCGAUAGCACAUGUGCACCCUUUCCAAUAGAGAAUUAGGAAAAGAAGCUAUACACUCCUCAUAAUGCUCACGGGUCAAGACAGUGGCGGGACCGUCGACACAUUCAGCACUGAUGACCUGUGAGUGAGGGGUGAUGAAAACCUCUUUUGGAUGUGGGUUUUUGAGAGAAACUGCACCCUUCACCUCUUUUGUGCAGUGAAACCACCUGACUCUGACUUUUUUUAGGCCACGCUUGUCCUCAUACAUAUCUUCGAGAUACGCAACGUACCGGUCGUCCCCUUUGCUCAUGACAAAUACAAAAGAGUGCACCUGAAAAUCCAAAAGAAGAAAUACACCUUCAAGUGAGUGCAGAGUUCCAUCCAUGCUCAAAAACUUAACAGAUCCGCACACAAUGACAAAUCAACAUAUAGCGAACUGUGCAUUCAUGAGUACUUUCAGGAAAUGGAUAUACUCAAAAGUUCUCCGAUGCGAAGUUUUCAACUUACCCCUAUAGUUGUCCCAUUCCUACAGAAUGAUGGGUAAUGUUUGAGCUGUUUGCCACACAUCCAGGAAGCUCCUGACCACAUAAUAUCCCAAAUGUGAACCCUCAAGUUUAUUGGAAGCCGGGCCUGUGAGAGAGAUUCUUCCAUCAGUAUUACAGGAGAAAACAAAAAUGCAGUGACUAUUGUCUAAAGCAGUAAGUAGCUAAACACCACCUCUUCUGUUGCUUGAGCACGCUGAGCAGCAAACCCAUUGCUUGAAAAUUCGGGAGACCCAUUAGAUUCCCCCGAAUCACAUUUUGGUGACUCUGUCAUUGACAGUAAACAAAUUCUAUAAAUAACCGGUUACAAAGUUAGAAGAGACUCCCUCAUAGAGAAAGAAGCCCUUCAUUCCCCACUCAACAGACAAAAUUAAAAGAAAUAAUACGCACUCGACCAGUUUCCUUGUGUAUUUUGUUUAGACAGCAUUGAGGUGAGCCAGUCCACCACCUCUCUCCUGGACCUCCAUUUGAAGCCAGGAUGGAUCGAAUUCUCGGAACCAUAGAUGUGCACAAAAUCCUCAGAGGCAACAUAGAACAUGUGCCUAACACUUCUCUCAGUCCCAACCACAGCUAAGAUGGAUUCACCAGCAGAAUCCUUGAGGAAGUAAUGAACAACACGGUUCCCUCUCUCCUGUGAGACAAAAUGCUCUUUCCACUCCACAAAAUGAUGAUCAUUCUCGCACAUUUUUUUUCCAAAUUCAGAUAAAGAACUAACUACUGAAUGUUAAAAGGUGUUGACGCCAGUUCAUAGCCAUGAUAGUAAAGCUUACCCCAACAAUAACCCUAAACCUCCUAUGCCCUAAAUCAACAUCCUUUCCUUAAGAGAUAGCUCAGCUUGGGGGGGAAAUCAAAUAACCCGGACGAAGAAGAAGUUGGGAUUAGAGAAAGCGGAGAAGAACCCAGUGAGAGGAGAGUCGCGAAGAUCUGCGGAGCGACCAGAGACGAAGCCGUGGAGACAGUGAUCCAAGCUCGAGAGCGCCGCAAAACACCAAGAUACGACUUUGACUGCGGUAAUCAGCUGAAGCAUGACGAAUACGAAAUGGGCAUCUCACAGGAGAAAAACAAAGGAAGAUGAUUAAGGGUUUAGUUCGUCGUGGAACAAACGUGUAAUAGACAGCUCAGAAAAGCGGCGACAACACAAAAACGGCGAUCGAUUUCGCGGAAGAAGGGUGAAGAGGAAGAAACUGAGUUGUGAUUAAGGUGAAGCUUAAGAAAAUAGGGUAUUCGUAUUCCCAUGGAUAUGGAUGAUCUCUCUCUCUCUCUCUCUCUCUCAAACUUGCAGGGGUUUGGCAAAAGCAGCUGCUCGUUGAGGAAAGGGGACAUACUUGGCCUUUAAUGGGCUUACAGUUUAUGAUAUUAUGGGCCUUUAAUGGGUCAAACCGUAAAUAAAACGAGAGAAUGUCAAAAGAGAAGAAGAAGUCAACAGAACUACUCUUUUCUUUCUAAUCUCUCGUCUUUUUGGCUGCCCGAGAAACACGGAAGUGUUAUAAGAUAAACUUUGAAAUGAUACUCCACCCUUUUACCAACUCAAGCACUACCAACUCAAGCACUAUGAUCAUCUACUCAUCAAGCACUAUGAUCACCCACUCAUUUACCAAAUCAAGCACCAUCUUUGAUAUUUUAUGCAUUGUUGUUCACUAUAAAUACCAUCACUCAUCUCACUCUUUUGUACACCAAAAAACAAGAACAAGAGUUUAUAAGAAAAGAACCAUUACAUCUUCUUCUUCUUACUUAUAAUAAACUCUCUCACUCAUAGUAGUGUUAUUUGCUUCCUACGGGUAUUAAAUUCUACUCUUAUUUAAAUUUCUCGAUACUAUAAAUUAUAAGUUAUUUCAUAACACGUUAUCAGCACGAUCACUCUGCGAUUCGGUAAAAUUUAUUUGUAUCAUUUAUACCCUGUUAUAAUGGUCGGUAUACCGCCUCUACUAUUAUUUAUAUCAUGUUAUAAUGGCCGGAAUACCGCCUAUAUUAUUUACUAGUAAUUUAAUUUAUUUAUUGGUCGGCCGAGCCGCCUUAUAUUCUGUUUAUUAUUAAUUGGUCGGCCGAGCCGCCGUAUAAUUUAUUUAUUAUUCUGCAUUGAUCGGCUGAGCCGUCGCAUGAUUUGUUGUCAUAUAACAUAAAUAUUUCAUUGUCAUAAUUUUUCACUUUUAUGAAAUUUUAUAGAUUUGAUUGACCGUUUAAUACGAUAUUUUCAGACUAAUUUUUGGUGCACUCGAUUUAACCCCAACGGUCACAAAGAAAAUUUUUCAAAAAUUUCCCCUUUCUCCAACGGUCAUGAACAGUAAUUUUCAUCUAUAAAUACAACUCAUUUUCACUCCAUUUCAUCAUCCAAAACAUUUCAUCUUCUCUCAAAAAUUUCAAAUCGCUCUCCUCCGAUUUUUCAUUUCAAGAAAGAUGAUUCGCGCACUUUUGUUUUUAUGUGCCAUUUUUAUUUGUGUUUCUAUUUAUGGUUUAUUCGUUGGAGAAUUUACUCCGAGUGAAUUUAAGAUGAAUAUCGGUUUAAUUUUAUUUACAUCGCUUCUCCUUGUAAUUGCUUGUAUGAUUAAUGUAAACGGUUUUUAAAUUAUGAAGUUCUAAUAAAAUUACUAUUUUGUGUUUUAGAAAUACAAAUGGCAAACAUCGAGAAACUCCAGUUCCCGGCUCUGAAAGUAACCGGCGAAAACUAUGUCAGAUGGGUCACAAAUGUGAAACCUUAUCUUGUAAUAAAAAAGAUAUCCGAAGCUAUAAAAGUCGGUAACAAAUCGCCACCCGAGCAUAUAGCCGAAGCGAUAAUCUUCCUGAAGAAGCACUUAGAUGAGAAUCUAACUCACGACUAUGGAGACGUUGAGGACCCAGCCGUACUAUGGCAAGCCUUGAAAGACAGAUUCGAUAAUCAAAAGGAAAUCAAUCUCCCUCACGCUCUUGAAGAGUGGAAAACCCUGAGGUUUCAGGAUUUCCAAAGGGUUAGAGAUUACAAUUCCACUAUCUUGAGGAUAGUUGCACAAUUAAAAUAUUGUGGUAACCCUGUCACCGAAGCAGAAAUGCUUGACAAGACAUACAAUACUUUCCACAAAGAACACAACGUCUUAUCCCGAAUUUACAGAAAAUGUGGGUACACCAAAUUUUCUGAAUUGAUGGUAACACUCAUGUUGGCUGAAAAGAACGAUGAGUUACUAAUCAAAAACCAUAAUUCCCGACCUACGGGAGCCAAGGCAUUUCCCGAAGUGAAUGCUACGGCGGUAGAAUAUUCGGGAAGGAGAAACCAUACCAACCGAGGUCGUGGUCGGCGUUUCAACAACAAACGUGGAAAGCCUUACUAUCCUAAAAGUAUUAGAUCUAACAAAUGGGUUAGAUCUGAACAACCUCAUAAAGGCAAAGAAACCGAAGAGGAUACCACAAAGAAAAGUGAGACUGUAUGUUACAGAUGUGGAUGUAAAGGACAUUGGUCCCGUACCUGUCGUACUCCCCCACAUUUGUGCAAGUUAUAUCAAGAAUCCAUAAAAGGAAAGGCUAAAGAGGUGAACCUCACGGAAAACGUUGAAGGGACCUCAUACCUUGAAUCCUCUGAUUUCGCAAAUGAGCUGGACUAGAAUACUCUUGAAGAGUACGGAAAUGUUUCUAAUAAGACUGCUGAAUAGUCCUCAUUUGUAAUGUAUAAUAAUUAUGUUUUCAAAGAAUAAUGUUGUUUUAACAACAAUAUAUGUAUAAUUAUUGUGUGUUUUCUUUAUAUAAUCAAUGAAUAAAUUUCACGUUUCACUUUUAUUUAAUGUUUAUGAUAAUUUCAGAAAUGGAUCAAAAUACUAAUGGAGCAAAAUCCAAGAAACGGAUUCGUGAAAUAUGCAUACCAGAUAGUGGAACAACGCACACUAUUCUGAGACAAAAGAGAUAUUUCUCUGAUAUAAAACCGACAAGAAUUGUCGUCAAUACAAUAUCAGGUCCUGCAGACGUGAUUGAAGGAACUGGUAAAGCAAACUUUACUUUACCGAAUGGAACAAAAUUUUCCAUAAAUAAUGCUCUAUAUUCUCCAAGUUCUAAAAGGAAUUUGUUGAGUUUUAAAGACAUAUAUCUUCACGGAUAUGAUACUCAGUCUGCAACUGAGGAUGGAAAGAAAUACAUGUAUGUAACUUCUGAGAAAUGUGGCAGAAAACACAUAUUGGAAAAGUUUCCAGAGCUUCCUUCGGGGUUACAUCAUACUUAUAUCGAUGAGAUCGAAUCAAAUCUUGUAGUAGAACGGAACCCAGAAGAGUUCACGUUAUGGCAUGAUCGCCUUGGCCACCCAGGCACUACAAUGAUGCGUAAAAUCAUAGAAAGUUCACAUGGUCAUCCACUGAAAAUCCAGGAGAUUUCUCAAGGGAAUAAAAUGACAUGUGUUGCAUGUUCUCUAGGAAAAUUGAUCGUAAGGCCAUCGCCAACCAAAAUCGAUAAAGAAUCACCAAAGUUCCUUGAAAGAAUUCAAGGUGAUAUAUGUGGACCGAUACAUCCACCAUGUGGACCAUUCCACUAUUUUAUGGUAUUAAUUGACGCAUCCAGUAGAUGGUCACACGUUUGUCUAUUAUCAUCUCGAAAUGUGGCAUUUGCGAGAUUUCUAACUCAGAUAAUCAAACUGCGAGCACAGUUUCCUGAUUAUACUAUUAAAAGAGUUAGACUAGACAACGCUGGUGAAUUCACAUCCCAAGCAUUCAAUGACUAUUGUAUGGUAAUGGGAAUUGAAGUUGAACAUUCGGUUGCUCAUGUUCAUACGCAAAAUGGUUUGGCUGAAUCUUUAAUUAAGCGUCUGCAAUUGAUUGCAAGACCAUUGAUCAUGAGAUCAAAACUUCCAACCUCUGUAUGGGGACAUGCCAUUUUGCAUGCAGAAGCACUCAUUCGGAUCAGACCGAGUGCAUACCAUAAGUAUUCCCCACUACAGUUAGCGUUUGGUCGAGAACCAAACAUUUCCCACUUUAGAAUCUUUGGUUGUGCGGUAUAUGUGCCUGUAGCACCACCACAACGAACAAAGAUGGGACCACAAAGAAGGUUGGGAAUAUAUGUUGGUUGUGAUUCUCCAUCAAUUAUAAGAUACCUAGAACCACAGACUGGUGACGUCUUUACAGCACGUUUUGCUGAUUGUCAUUUUGACGAAAAUGUAUUCCCAGUUCUAGGGGGAGAAAACAAAAAUGUUGGAAGUGAUAUAAAAUGGAGUGUACCAUCAUUGUUAUAUCUUGAUCCUCCUACUAAAGAGUCAGAACUAGAAGUUCGACGAAUUAUGCAUUUACAGAGUAUAGCUAACCAGCUACCUGAUGCAUUUGCAGAUACCAAGACGGUAACUAAAUCUCAUAUACCAGCUGCAAAUGCUCCUGCUCGUAUCAAAAUGCCAAAUGAACAAGAAAAGGAGGAUGACACACGAGAGCCAAAAACACGCCUGAAGCGUGGUAGACCUGCUGGUUCUAAGGAUAAGAAUCCUAGGAAACAGAAGAAAGCUGAAAUAUAUGAUGCACCCAAAAUAGCAGAAAAUAUUUUGGAAGAAAUAAAUGAUAAGGACUCUGAUGAAUCAGAGCAUCAUGAAUCGAAAGAUAAUCAUGAGAUUUCUAUUAAUUACAUCCAUAAUAAAAGGAUAUGGAAUAGAAAUGAACAAAAUGACCUUGAUGAUGCUUUCUCAUAUAUCGUGUCAAGUGAGGUAAAUGAAGAUACCGAUGAUCCAGAACCGAAAUCCAUAUAUGAAUGUCAAAAGAGACAUGAUUGGAAUAAAUGGAAAGAAGCAAUACAAAUCGAACUUGAUUCGCUUAACAAACGAAAAGUGUUUGGAUCUAUUGUACUCACACCUGAAGAUGUGAGACCAGUUGGGUACAGAUGGAUUUUCGUUCGAAAACGAAAUGAGAAAAAUGAGAUUACAAGGUAUAAAGCUCGCCUUGUAGCCCAAGGAUUUUCUCAAAGACCUGGUAUUGAUUAUGAGGAAACAUAUUCUCCUGUAAUGGAUGCGAUCACAUUUAGAUUCCUGAUGAGUCUAGCCGCUGAUAAAAAUCUUGAGAUGCGUCUCAUGGAUGUUGUUACAGCUUAUCUAUACGGAUCAUUAGAUACUGAUAUCUACAUGAAAAUCCCUGAUGGAUUUAAAAUGCCAGAAGCAUUAAGUUCCAAACCUAAAGAGUUAUGUGCAAUAAAAUUGCAAAGAUCAUUAUAUGGGUUAAAACAAUCUGGACGUAUGUGGUACAAUCGUCUCAGUGAACAUUUAACAAAAGAAGGAUAUGUGAAUGAUCCUAUAUGCCCAUGUGUUUUCAUCAAGAAAACAACAUCCGGAUUUGUGAUAAUCGCGGUAUAUGUUGAUGAUCUAAAUAUUAUUGGAACUCAAAAAGAAAUACAAAAGGCAUCAGACUAUCUCAAAGGAGAAUUUGAGAUGAAAGAUCUUGGACAGACACAGUAUUGUCUUGGCCUACAAAUAGAACAUUCACAAAAUGGUAUAUUUGUGCAUCAAUCCACAUACACUAAAAGAGUGUUGAAACGAUUUAACAUGGAUAAAUCAACUCCUCUUAGCACCCCGAUGGUCGUUAGAUCACUUAACAUUGAAAGUGAUCCAUUUCGACCACCUGAGGAAAAAGAAGAGAUACUUGGUCCGGAAGUACCAUAUCUAAGUGCAAUUGGAGCGUUGAUGUACCUUGCAAAUUGUACACGGCCUGAUAUAUCAUUCGCUGUUAAUCUUCUAGCAAGAUUUAGCUCAUCUCCAACACGAAGACAUUGGAAUGGAAUUAAACAUGUCUUUCGUUACCUACAAGGGACUAUUGAUUUAGGCUUAUUUUACCCUAAGGAUUCAAAUGGUCAAAUGGUUGGUUUUGCAGAUGCAGGAUAUCUUUCAGAUCCACACAAAGCCCGAUCGCAAACAGGAUAUGUUUUUACUAUCGGAGGCACUGCUAUAUCUUGGCGUUCUCAGAAACAAACGCUUGUGGCUACCUCUUCAAAUCAUGCUGAGAUCAUCGCACUCCAUGAAGCAAGUAAAGAAUGUGUAUGGCUAAGAUCUAUAAGCCAACACAUUUGUUCAAGUAGUGGGAUUGACAAAAGUACGGGGCCAACUAUUCUAUAUGAAGAUAACGCGGCAUGUGUUGCUCAAACGAAGGAAGGAUAUAUCAAAAGCGAUAGAACCAAACAUAUACCUCCGAAGUUCUUCUCAUAUACUCAAGAGCUCGAGAAGAAUAAAGAGAUUGAAGUAAGAUAUGUUCGAUCAUGCGACAAUGCAGCCGACCUCUUCACAAAAUCACUCUCUACUUCGGUAUUCAGAAAACAUGUCCAUAACAUUGGAAUGCGUCAUCAGAAGGAUCUAUGAUUGCUCAAUCGAGGGGGAGCUUACGUAGUUGUACUCUUUUUACCUAACUAUGGUUUUUCCCAUUGGGUUUUCCUAGAAAGGUUUUUAACGAGGCAACAAAGACGUUGAGCGAGAGCGGAGAGUGACACCGGUUCCCAAGGGGAGUGUUACGAAACUUAAUUUAAUACAAGAUGGAUGAUCAAGGGGGAGUGUUAUAAGAUAAACUUUGAAAUGAUCCUCCACCCCUUUACCAACUCAAGCACUAUGAUCAUCUACUCAUCAAGCACUAUGAUCACCCACUCAUUUACCAAAUCAAGCACCAUCUUUGAUAUUUUAUGCAUUGUUGUUCACUAUAAAUACCAUCACUCAUCUCACUCUUUUGUACACCAAAAACAAGAACAAGAGUUUAUAAUAAAAGAACCAUUACAUCUUCUUCUUCUUACUUAUAAUAAACUCUCUCACUCAUAGUAGUGUUAUUUGCUUCCUACGGGUAUUAAAUUCUACUCUUAUUUAAAUUUCUCGAUACUAUAAAUUAUAAGUUAUUUCAUAACAAGAAGUUGUUUGUUUAUAAACGUUUUUUAUUUUCUCGAGAAUAUUAUUCUUUUAAUGGAUUAGAAAAUCAAUCUACAACUACAACUAAGCAGGCGUAGAAUCACUCUUUCGUCUUCUUCUUCAUCAUCAUCUGCUUCUUAUUUUUUUUCUGAUUGACCUUGGGGAGAUUCGCUUAACCUUGUAAUAAUGGCGGGAAUAGCUAUAGUUUUAGAUCUACUCAAUAAAUCUCAUAACAAACACGCUUUCCACUCAUCGUCUUCUCUGUCUUCCGCCGCCGCCGUAUCUGCUUUCGCCAGUGCUCCCUUCGCGUCUAGGUUUCUCUUCGGGUAUGUAUUGUGUCUUGAUUGAUGCUCUGUUUCGAUUUGUAUGGACUCUCACACGUUUUUGACUGGAUCGUCGUGAUGGAUAGGAUUGAUAACUAGAAUCUCUUCUGAGAUUAGGGUUAAUCUAAAGCCUAGAUUUUUUUUUUUGGUUUUGAUCGAGCUGAAACAGCACUCUAAAUCCAACGUUACAUCCACAACUGGUAAUAAUCAUGUUUUGCAAUCUAGUAAGAUGUUUGUAAUCUCUUAUAUGUUUCUCUUGUGUUCAUUGUCUUGUUGUACGUUCCAGUUUCAACCUAUCAAUGAUUCAAUAUUCUUCAUGUGAUACAGUUCCUUUGAGCCUCGAGUUGCGUAUUGUGACGCGGCAGCUGCAAUAGACGAUGAUUACCUUGCUGCUAUACGAAAGAUGUCUGCGGAUACUUUGCAGCUUCAGACGCCUACAUACAUUCCUACUAGCUCUAAGGUUUACAAUAUCCAGCCAAAACCACUCUUCUCCGCCUUCGAGUUCAGGGCACUUGCGAUGACCACAGUGAGAUCCCUCCUCAUGUUUUAUCUGCCUCUUUUGGAGCCUAAACCGGCUUCAGAGGACGAUGAUGAUUUCCUUAACAAUGCCGCGGAAGAACUCCGUGGCGCAGACUUGAUUGUUCCUCUUAAAAAGUCUGUCAAGCAGAUUGCCCGUGAGGUUAGUAUUUGUUUGUAUCAAAGGGUGCUUCCUGGUGUCAUGAUUUUAACUGAUGUUUUCGGGUAUAUAUGAUCCACAGACCACUGUUGUGACUACUCGGAGAGUCCUUGAAAGGCUGGCUAUCAGUUAUGUCUCACAGCGUAUGGCAUGGAAGCUUCUAAAGGGUAACGUCAUCUUCUAUUACUUUGCUUUCCCCCAACAACAAACUUGUUAUUAUAAUCCAAAAUGUGUAACAUAUUAUCUCGGUGGGUGAACUGAUCAUACUGAUAAAUAAAUAUAUGUAUAUCUGCAGAUGUGCCACAAUCUACUUUACGCAAGGCUGGGAGAGGGUGGCCCACACAUGUAUACAUCUAUAAAGUCAGCCAGACAACUCUUAGAGGUAUCAUAACAGAUACUGUGGAUCUAUCAAAAGCUUGUACUGUCUUAAGAUCAGUUAUUGUUUAGUUAUUACCAUAACUUUCUUAAACGUGUACAUAUAUAUAUGUUUGGUCAUUGGAUUUGUUUUACGCAGGACACUUCCUCGGAAUUGCAGCAUCAUGGACAGUUCAAGUAGGAAUAGAAAUCUACAGAUGUGUUAACCGUUAUGUUAAACCCAAACCCGAAGAAGUAGACGAGGAACAAGUGGAGAUAGCAGAGCAAGCCAAGGAUCUUGGAAACAAAGUCGUGGGUAUCACAGUAAGAUGUGGUGCUUCUUUAGUAUUCGCUGCCAUUGGAGCUGGUAUCUGGUCUUGCCUCAUGCGUCCCUCCACUGGACAAUGGAUCGGUAAGCUCCCGACACUGAUAAAUCUGGUUUAAUGUCUCUUUUUUGGUUUUUGGAACAAUGAUUGAUGUGUAUGGUUUUUAUAUAUAAUGUAGGCUGCGCGUUGGGGGACUUGGCUGGUCCGAUGGUUGUUUCGAUUUGCUUGCAGAAGACUCUUCAAGCUGAUGGUUAACUUUAUAUGGGGAGAUUGAAUUCUUCAGCUUUUUCCAUCCAAAAUGAAAUCAGAAUGUUGUUUUUUCUGAAUUUUUUCUUAUGGUUUUUACUGAAACCUUGGAAGCGUUUUCAUCAAGACACUCGAAUGAUUCACAAAUUGUACCUACUUUUGAGAACAUCUGAAUAAGGCAGGUGUUUAUUUUUCUCUGGAUUUAAUGUUAAAUUCGUAUAUUUCUUCUUUCCACUCUUGUAAGUAUAAGAUUUAACAUGUUAUUUUCUUACCCAAACCGACUAUCUUUGGACGAAUCAUCUCGUACUCUUGAAAUUCUCUCACAAAUUGGAAACAAACAAAGAGGCAUGCUCAUGCGCUGAAUUGGUAAUGUGACUGGCGAAGUAAUUUCACUAAAAUAUUAACUACACAAUUAUUUUAUGAGAAAAAGACAAAAAUAGCACUAAAUCAAGUUUAUGUUCUCAAACUAGCACUCAAGGUCAAAAGGCACAAAAAUAACACUUAGUGUUUUAUCAAAAGUCACAAACUCAGGGUUUAGAGUUAAAGGGUGAGGUUUAGGGUUUAGGGUUUAGAGUUUAGGGUUUAGGGUUUAGGAUUUAGAGUUUAGGGUUUAGGGUUUAGAGUUGAGAAAUGAGGUUUUGGGGAUAAGAUUUCAAAUUUUGAAAAAUAAAAAAAUUAAAAUUUUCAAAGAAUAAACUUAGAAAUGUGCUAUUUUGGUCAUUUUAGUUUUUGAGUGCU
Molecule: long non-coding RNA, 70265 nt
Filed under: Brassica napus (rape)
Lineage: Eukaryota; Viridiplantae; Streptophyta; Magnoliopsida; Brassicales; Brassicaceae
Description: long non-coding RNA (BNAP_LNC023390)
Source: RNAcentral